This 79167-nucleotide long non-coding RNA is filed under the name Podarcis lilfordi (Lilford's wall lizard). The record is from RNAcentral. Lineage: Eukaryota; Metazoa; Chordata; Lepidosauria; Squamata; Lacertidae.
GGGCCAUUAUGAAACAAUGGCCAGACAUCAUCUACGCAUCAGAGAUGUGUCUGUGCAAAAUAGAGGUUGCCAAGGUGAUGGGUGUUUGUGUGAGAGAGGUGGCAAGAAAAAAAGUGCCCUUUCACAGGACACUUGGGUGUUUUUGGUGAAAGGUGUGCCAAGAAGGAGGAGAACGAGGCAGAACUCCAUGCAGCGCUGGCAGGAGGAGACUGCACCAAGAGACAAGGAGCCAUGACUGAAUCCAGCAGUUCCUUGCCCUGCAUUUAUCUCUGCAGUAAUUAAAGUCAACUGCAGUUAAAAGUAAGUGAAACUCCUUUGAGAAAUGUUGUGAAUGAUUCUGAAUUUCUUAAUGAAUUUCCUCUGGAAUUUCUGCUGAUAUUUAGCCUGAGCAGGAUUCUCCAAAUCUGCCCAGAAGUUCAAUUUAGGUUAAUUCUCUGACUGCUCUUAGACACCGGAGCAUCACGUGAUGGGUAGCUUUGGCACUAGACUGUUCAAGUGACAAUAUAGAUUGUGGAAUCUUUUCACCAGGCCAUAAAUGUGAGGUCAGUGCCAAACCAGCUAGUCGUGUGCCUGGACCGCUGUUAGACUACGGGACUAGGACUGAGACUGAGACAUCAGUUGAAACUAUGGAAGUAUGAACCUACCCAGACCCUGAGAUCAGCCUCUGAAGCCCUUCUUCGUGUGCCUCCUCCUCGAGAGGUCUGGAGGGUGGCAACACGGAAACAGGGCCUCCUCUGCAGUGGCUCCCCAUUUGUGGAAUGCUCUCCCCAGGGAAGUUUGCCUGGCGCCUUCAUUAUACACCUUUAGGCACCAGGCAAAAACAUUCCUUUUUUACCAGGAUCUAAUUUACACCCUAUGGUCUUUACAUCCUAUGUUCUUUUUUUGGGGGGGGGGGUGUUAUUGGGUUGUUGUUUUUAUUUGGUUAUAUACAGCGCUUUUUUCUAAAAAAAAAUAUGUUUACGAGUACUCUCAUUUUCCUACUCAUAUUGAAGUACUGCAUCUCAGUGAGUCCAAACUUAGAUUCACAAAAUAUUUAGGGAUAUCUGUACCCCUGCGUCCCCCCAGAAAAAAAGCACUGGUUAUAUAUAUAGUGGUUUUAUAUUCUGAUUUUGUUCUGUGAACCGCCCUGAGACCUCCGGGCAUAGGGUGGUGUGUGUGUGUGUGUGUGUGUGUGUGUCUGUCUGUGUGUGUGUGUGUGUGUGUGUGUGUGUGUGUGUGUGUAUCUCAACUUGACUCUGAAGCUUACUGGAUGACCUUGGCUCAGGCAGCAUCACAGGGUAGCUGUCAGGGAGGGUGUUGGGAGCAAGUCAGCAAUAAUUCACAAGGUGUCCGUGAAGUUAAGUCUAUAUUCAGAGAAACAGAAUGUCACGAGAAGGGGGCACGGGGCCACCUGCAGCCAAUCAGCCUUCACGGACACAGAGGAAAAGGCACUGAUGAGAACCAGCUGGCUUCAGCCUGCUUAAGCAUAGCUUCCAGCAGCAGUCAGAGACUGGUAACAAUGCUUUUAGUUUCUGGUCCUACCUUGCUGCUUCCUGCUUGCCUUGACCCCAUACUCAUUGGAGUUCCUGACCGCUUGACCAUCUGACUACAUGGAUUGCUGUUCUCCUGACCCUAAGACUGGACCUGACGUUGGAUGCUAACUCUGCCUCCAGGCAGAGCAACGGGACUAUGACAUAACACAGGGAGCCCAGCAACUUUUCCACAGGGCUGGCGCCACUACCGAGAAGGCCCUCUGCUUGGUUCCCUGUAACUUCACUUCUCACAGGAAGGAAACUGCCAGAAGACCUUCAGAGUUGGACCUCAGUGUCCGGGCUGAAUGAUGGGGGUGGAGAUGUUCCUUUGGGUAUAAUGGGCUGAGACCAUUUAGGGCUUUAAAGGUCAACACCAACACUUUGAAUUGUGCUCAGAAAUGUACUGGGAGCCAAUGUAGGUCUUUCAGGACCUGUGUUAUGUGGUCCCAGCAGCCACUCCCAGUCACAAGUCUAGCUGCCGCAUUCUGUAUUAAUUGUAGUUUCUGGGUCACCUUCAAAGGUAGCCCCACGUAGAGCGCAUUGCAGUAGUCCAAGCGGGAGAUAACCAGGACAUGCACUACUCUGUUGUCUUUCAGUAGUUGUCUUUCAGUUGUUUUUGGACUAGAUAUUCCACCAGCUCCAACCAGCAUGGCAAAUGGUCAGUGAUGACAGCAGUUGUAGUCUAAAAUAUUUGGAGGGCACCAAGUUGGGGAAGGCUGGUGUAUACAUUUGUAUGGGUGAGCCCCUGAUUCACAAGUGACAUCAUUUGCAUGAUUCCAAAGUCAAAGGGCUGCCCCAUAGUUCAGGGCUGCCCACUUGAAUAAAAUAUUGGAGGGACAUGUGUCGGGGAAUGGGCAGAAGAGGAAUGGUGAAGACCGCCUUCACUGUUGGUUUCUAUUUCCUUCACUGAGCAGCAUCUACUUGUCAUGAGACAGGUGUUUACAUUCCACAGUCUGUACUGUUGGAGUUUCUCACGGGAAAGGGAGACUGGAUGUGACGUACACUGGUUUCCUGUUUUUUCACUGUGUGAUUCUCUCCGAGCUGUCGAGGAGAGAGGAUGCAUUUUUCUGCUCCGGCAGAGGCAAGAUGUCUUUCUGUAAUAUACCAGCUUUGAACUGUAAAUAAAGCAAUAUAGAGUAUGUAUCACGUAUUCCUCAUCCUUCCGCUGGGCAACGACAGACUCUGCUUUAAAUCAACACGUGGUUAUGGGCUCCAGAGGUCGAAUCGGAGUGCCGGCAAAGGAUCGGAAUGCAGAGGGACGGAUCGGAAAGGAAUCUGCUCUGCGCGUAGAAGUGAUUGAUGAGGUAUGUGCUACUGCUCCGGGCAGCCUGCCAGCUUCAAGUUAAUGGCUUUAUGGCUGGACUUUGAACUUUAAAGCCGGUUUUGCCGGGAAUAGGCAAAGGCUCCCAGGCACAAGUCACUAUGCUGGGGAAAUCGAAGUAACUUUUAAGUGCGCCUUUGUAAUAAGGCAGCUGCAGCAGUGACGCAGCAAGAUUUAAAGCAGCAUAUGACGCUGAAGGCUAAUGCCAGAGUCAUGAUGGCCCUUCAGGAUGCUUGUGGGAUUCCUAAGCUCAACAAGAAAAAUUACAGCGACUGGGUUCAGUAUGCAGAGGCAAUUCUGCGGAAAGAGGGUUUGUUUGAGGUGAUUACAGGAACCCCCAGUUCCAGUUACAGAUGCAUGGGAAGCUAAGGAUUCCAAAGCAAGGGGAACUCUUACAUUGAUAGUAUCCUCAGAAGAGCUCUGUCUAUUGCGUGAUAAGACCUCAGCCAGAGAAAUUUGGGACGCUCUGAGAGAGGCUCACUUAAGGACAGAAGCUGGAUCCACUAUGUUUUAUUUUAACAAGCUGCAUAAUAUGGCUCUUGCUGAAGGUGGAGAUGUGCGUUUACAUCUGAUGGAGAUGCAAAAUCUGAGACAUGAGCUGCAACAGAGAGGACUCAACUUUCCAGAGGCUGUGUAUUCUUUCAUGAUACUACAAUCUUUGGGUUCAGGUUGGGAGUCUGUUGCAACCCAGAUUGCUGUGCAACCAACUGCUCAGCUGACAGUGGACUUUGUUACUGCCGUGAUUUUAAAUGAAGCAGAUCGCCGGGUGCUAGCUGCAUGGGCAAGGGGAGUCUUCACAGACGUCAUCCCAUAGUGCAGUGGAACCACCAGAUGGCGCCAAAGCUUUGAAGGCAGUCAAAUGCUACUCGUGUGGACGUCUAGGCCAUAUGAAGAGGGAAUGCAGACAUCCCAGGGCCAAGACAGAGCAGCGCAGCGAAAGCUCAUCGCGCGGAAAAGGCCGAGGCAAAGGCAAAGGUCCGGUGUCUAGGACAACGCAGCACAAGGCUAUGGUUUCACGCUUCACUCCAAAGGUUGCAGAGGUCCAGAAGACGUCUAGAUCUUUCUUCGUUGUUGAUUCAGCGGCCACCCACCACAUGUGCAACGAUAAGAAACUGUUUGUGUCUUUUACACCGCAGGAAGGUGCGAUUCACCAGGCGGAUGACCACACUAUUCCCAGUAAAGGCUACGGAACUGUUGUUCUUCACAGUUUGGACUUAUCGAUACAGAAUGUGCUUUACGUGCCAGACGCCAAACAUAAUCUGCUCAGCGUUGGACAGCUGAAUGAGCGGAACAUUGACGUUUCCUUCAAGAACAAGAAGUGCAUCAUCACAAAGAAAAAUGAUUAUGUAUUGCAUGCAGAAUAUGUUGAUCAUUUGUUUGUUUUGUAUUAUGAUGAUGUGGUGCAGGAUGACACUUGUUGCAUUGCAGGUUCUAACAAAAGUUUGCAUGCAGAAUGUAUUCACGAUUUUCAUCGAAAAUUUGGUCAUUUGCAUUUUGAGGCAGUAUCUAAAAUGCCUGCCUUGGUUGAAGGUAUGACUAUUAAACCCUGCAGGUACCACAUGAAGUGCAAAGCAUGCGCAGCAAACAAGGUGAAAAUGGCUGCGAAAGGUAAGGUGUCUAGUAGGAAAGCUACAGAACCAUACCAGGUUGUUCAUGCUGAUUUGGUUGGACCACUAGCGCCCUCUUUGGGUGGAAAUAGAUACUUCAUGGUUCUCAUUGAUGCAUUUUCUAGAUAUAUUUUUGUGUACAAUCUCAAGCAGAAAUCGGAGGCUUUUCCUAGGUUCAAGGAAUUCUGUGCUUGGUUGGAAAAUGUGCAUGGUAAGAAGAUAAAGACUCUUUCAGUGAUCGCGGGGGGGAAUUCACUUCUCAGCAGUUUGAAGCUUUUCUGACUGAGAAAGGAAUUCAACACGAUUUGUCUAGUCCUCGCUCGCCAUGGCAGAAUGGACUUGCGGAACGGGCAAAUCAGACAUUGCUUCAAGGAUUAAAAACCUUGCUGCAUGAUGCCAAUCUUCCAGAGAGUUAUUGGGCCGAAUCUCUCUCGUGUUUUGUUUACAGUUACAAUCGCAGGUUAUCUUCAGCGAUUGGUUGUACUUCUAUGAGAAGAUGUUUGGCAAGAAGCCAUACAUCAAACACAUGAAGAUUUUUGGUUCUGACAUGUGGGUUCGCUCACCACAAAACUCCAAGUUAGACAAGCGUGGAUUGCAUGGUAUCUUUCUAGGUUAUCAGAAAGGGUCUUACAGAAUAAUGAUGACUGACUCUAAGACAAUUAAGCUCACGAGAAGUGUUGAGUACAAUGCAAAGUGGGGGAGAAUGUGGGAAUUUUCCAAUGUUAUCCUGAUGACGGUGAUGAGACUGAGGAUAGUCAAAGCAACCACAACAGCCCACACCCACUGAUGAAGGUUCUGAGUCUGAAUCUGAAACUGAAUCGGGUGAUUCAGAGGAUUUCAAGAGUGCGAAAGCCUCUAUGCGACCCUCUGAAAGCUCUGAUCAAGAAUUGGAGGAACCAUUGUUCACAAUAGGUCGUUUUUCUCCUAAGAAGGAAGAGGAGAGUGUUGAAGACUUAAGGCUAAUUCAGUAGGUCACAGAGAGCCACAAAAGGCAAACCUCCAAAGAGAUUUGCUGAUGAGUUUGCUAAGAUAGCAGUAACAGCUGUUAAAAGCUCCAAGAAGGUAUUUGAACCUUCAAGUUUCCAAGAAAUCCAGGGUUUGGAUUCAAAGGAAGCUGAGCCAUGGUUAAAUGCCAUGAAGGCUGAGCUUGAUUCCUUAGAAAGGAACAAAACAUGGGAGCUAGUUCCAGUAGUUCCAGGAAUGAAACUGCUUGGAAGCAAAUGGGUCUUCAAAGCGAAGACAGAUCAAAAUGGCAAGAUAGUCAGACACAAAGCCAGAUUGGUAGCCAGAGGUUUUGCACAGGUACCAGGUGAAGACUAUCACGAGACCUAUUCACCCACAGUGAGAUAUGAAAGCAUUAGGCUUAUGCUCAAGCUUAGCUGCAGAGGAAAAUCUACACAUUAGUCACCAUGAUAUUAAUACAGCUUUUCUGUACGGAUCUCUAGAUGAAUCACUUUAUAUGCUUCCACCUGAUGGCGUACAGGUAAAACAGGGAUUUGUUUGUGCUCUGAAGAAAUCCCUUUAUGGUCUCAAACAAAGUGCACGGUGUUGGCACACAAAACUCACUGAAGUAUUGUUUUCUCUAGGUUUUCAGCAAGGGAAAGCUGAUCCAUGUGUAUUUGUCAAAGAGGAGGGGCAAAAGAAACUGUACUGUUUGUUUUAUGUUGAUGAUUUAUUAUUCUUUUGGAAAGAUGUUGCAAUGUACAAUAACGCCCUAGCUCAACUGAAAGAGCACUUUGACAUGAAAGAUCUUGGUGAGGUAAACAACUACCUAUCUCUGGAAAUAGAGAGAGAUCAAGAUGGUAACAUUCUAGUACACCAGUCACGGAAAAUUGCUGAUGUGUUAAGCAAACUAAAUCUGAUGGAUGCUAACCCUGUAGACACACCGAUGACAACAGGUUAUCAGGUAGAUGACACUGAAGAAGCAUUUUCUGACACUACACUGUACAGGAGUGUGCUAGGCAAGCUAAACUUCAUUGCCAGAUGUUCAAGACCAGACAUUGCUGUUAGCUGUAAUUUGCUAAGCAGACAAGUCAACAAUCCUAGUGUCAAGGAGUGGAAAGCUCGGAAACGCAUAGCGCGGUAUUUGAAAGGCACUAUGCAUUACAGACUGAGAUUUAACAAUCAGAAGUCUGGUGGUCUUGAGAUAUUUGCAGAUGCAAGUUUUGGAAGUGACACUACAGACAGGAAAAGUACGUCUGGAGUUUGCUACAUGUACAAUCAGAGUCUGUUUGAUUGGUCAUGCAAGAAGCAAACAACAGUUAGCUUAAGUACUUGUGAAGCUGAACUGAAUGCACUGUCUUAUUCACUUAAGGAUUGUGAAUGGUUAGUACAAUUGUGCAAAGAUAUGAAAAUUCCUGUCAAAUGUCCAAUCCAGGUUUACCAGGACAACAAAGCAUGUUUGGCUUUGCUGAAGUCUGAAGGUUGUAAGCAAAGCACAAAGCACUUGCAAUUAAAGUUGCAGCAUGCUAGGGAAUGUAUUCAGAAGGGACUCGUAACGGUGUCCUAUAUGCCAGGUAAUGAAAUUCCUGCUGAUGUAUUGUCCAAGAUUGUAUCAAGGAAUCAACACUGUACCUAUGUGCAGAAGUUGGGUUUGUACUGAUACUGUACGAACACGCUGCCCAGUGAUGUUCACAGAAAGGGGGAGGAUGUUGGUUUCUAUUUCCUUCACUGUGCAGCAUCUGUUUGUCAUGAGACAGGUGUUUACAUUCCACAGUCUGUACUGUUGGAGUUUCUCACGGGAAAGGGAGACUGGAUGUGACGUACACUGGUUUCCUGUUUUUUCACUGUGUGAUUCUCUCCAAGCUGUCGAGGAGAGAGGAUGCAUUUUUCUGCUUCGGCAGAGGCAAGAUGUCUUUCUGUAAUAUACCAGCUUUGAACUGUAAAUAAAGCAAUAUAGAGUAUGUAUCACGUAUUCUCAUCCUUCCGCUGGGCACGACAGACUCUGCUUAAAUCAUCCUGACCCAGGGAGGAGGAAGAGGAAGACAGCAUAGAUUUACAACAGGGGUUAGAAGGAUGUAGCAGCUCAGAGGCAGAUGAGGAGGAAAGCUAAGAAAUCAUGGCAGAGCUGGGACAACACUCAGCUGACACGUUGUCAGUAGAAAGCAUUCCAGACCCACCAUCUCCCAGAACCUGGAGAUUCUUAAAAGUAGGAGAGCAAAGAUCUCAAAGACAGAGGGCCAGCGGCAGAGCAUAUGUCCGCACUGCCCGGGGUGGGCGUGCUCCUGAGGGGGGCGUGGCAUGCUGCCAAGGGGGGGCAUGGUGUGGAGGGUGCGCUCCCAGGCAUGGGAUAGCUGCUCAGGUGCCUGGAGUGGCGCAUGAGCCCCGCAGCCGGGGGUGGAACAAGCCACCCAUGGUGGACAUUCAGUGUACCGCCUGCCCACGACUCCCAAGCCUCCCCCAAGCCGUCAAAACGAAGGAGAAAGGGAGAAAUGCUGUUGGCAAAGCAGCAUCUACCCCACUUACCCCAACAUGGGCGAGUGGUGCGCUGAAUGUAACCCCCCUUAGUGAGGGCACCUGGGUCAGUCUGCCCCCCCACACCCCUACAGAGGGCACUUAGCGGCAUCCGUAGAGGAGACAAUGAGAAUGAGGAAUGAGGAAGUGGGAGAGACAGGGGUGUGGAGAUUCACUCAGGACAACACCAUUAUCCAAGAGGCUGAGUUCUGUAGCCUCUCUCUGUAAACACUGAAAUAAAAAAGAAAGGUAAGAAACUUUCCCUUGUCUUUAUUCUUUCCUGGGCCACCAGCUAGGAGCCGCUGACAGCAGGUAAGCCCUGUCCUAUAUAAUCACAUGACAUAGCACACAUACACUAUUUGAAUGGCAACGCUCAUCAAUUUUGACUGCCUCAAAUAUUUUCAUGGGGUGGCUGAAGUGACCUUAGCCUCUUGGAGCUCCUACGCCAUAGUUUAUGGCCAGCAUUCUAGUAACAAGCAUGAACUUCCUGUUACAACUUCAAGCUUCUGAAAUGGAUAACUGCACGAUUUCCAUUUCUUUUUAAUAAACAAAAGUUAUUUAAAACCUGAAAUCUGAAACUUAUUUAAUGCUGUCAAGACUGUCAUAUUUUUGACUGAGGGUAGGAGUCAACAGCAAUGCGCAAAAGCAAUUAAGCAGGAGUAACCAGAUGUAGCUUUGAUUAUGUACGAUCUUGGCAAAUGAAGACCCGUGUAGGUGGAUACACUUGAAAAGUUCUGGUUCAUAAACUGCCCACAGGGACAGUUUAAUAUUUCAGGGUUGUAGGUGUGCAACCUAACACAUAUAUAACAUUAUUUUCAAAAAAAAGAAGGGUGCAUUGAACUAGCCUUAAUUAGUUAUUUUAAGGUGACAUCUGAAGUGGUGUGAGGUUUCUUCAAGCAGAAUGACACAGGCAAACGAUUCUGGGGAUAACAACUUACAAUUGAGUUAAUUCUUUGAAUAUUUCCAGGGAGGUAACUGAAGUUUAGUGCAGUAGAUAAGCAGGGCCGUCUUUAGCAUAUGUGGUGCCGGGGGGUGGGGGGGCAGUGGCUGUUGGCUGGCCUGGCUCUUCAAUCCCAGACUCCAAAUCUCAGCCCUGGACUCUCAGCCUGGCGCCCCUGAGAGCCCGGCGCCUGGGUGCCCCACACCCUAGCUCCUAUGGGUAAGCCAGCCCUGUAGAUAAGCUAAGUAAAGAGGCUGCAGAGCAUGCCUGGACUAUGUGCUUCUAUGAAUCCUGGCUUUGUCUGUAGACAUAGUUACCGCACAAAAAUGAGAAGGCCUUUCUCACAUUCUCCAGGCAGUUACAAACCAAAAACAGUACAGUGGUACCUCGGGUUACAUACGCUUCAGGUUACAGACUCCGCUAACCCAGAACUAGUACUUCGGUUAAGAACUUUGCUUCAGGAUCAGAACAGAAAUCGCGCGGCAGCACAGCAGCGGCAGGAAGCCCCAUUAGCUAAAGUGGUGCUUCAGGUUAAGAACAGUUUCAGGUUAAGAACGGACCUCCAGAACGAAUUAAGUUCUUGACCCGAGGUACCACUGUACACUGUACAGUGGUACCUCGGGGUACAGACACCUCAGGUUACAAACACUUCGGGUUACAGAUUCCGCUAACCUGGAAGUAGUACCUCGGGUUAAGAACUUUACCUCAGGAUGAGAACAGAAAUUGCACACUGGUGAGAUGGUGGCAGCGGGAAGUCCCAUUAGCUAAAGUGGUACCUCAGGUUAACAACAGUUUCAGGUUAAGAACGGACCUCCGGAAUGAAUUAAGUUCAUAACCAGAGGUACCACUGGAUCUCCUGUGGGCCAUUGCUGACUGAUGCUGCUCUUUUUCCUCUUCUUUUUUAGCCUUUUGUCUAGGGGUGGGUGAAGGUUUCAGUUUUGGUUUAUCUCAGUUCCUCAUUUCCCCCCAAUUUUAAGUUCAGCUCUCCACAUUUCCAGAUCAGUUUUCAUUUUAAACAAGUUCUCGUGAAACUUCAGCAGCAUUUCUUUGUGCAACUUUCUCCUACUAUACUCAUUUUUAUACACAAAUGUGCCUAAUGUACACAUUUCUGCUAUUUCCCCCAAUAUAAUAUGUUUUGUAGGCUAGCUUCACCAAUGUAUGUGUCAUGCAUUCAUAUGCACCUUUUACCCUAAUAUACUUUUUUUGAAAAAAUCCACAUUAUGUGGCUGGAGAUCUGCAUUGCAAAAUUCAGAGAAGUGCAGAUUUCAAAGGAUUGUGUUCAAGCAUGGUUUCUCCCUAUGGAGUAAUGAAGAAAGAAAAGUUGGGGUGGAGAUUCUUCACUGUACCUCCAGACUUUGAUGCCUAGCCAAAGAUCACAUUUAUUUGGACUAAAUGACCAUCAGGGUCCCUUCCAACUCUUUAGUUCUAUGAUUCUACAUUGUCCCACAGAACAUCUUUUUUUCCCCUUUUGGAAAUACUUAUUAUUUGAUUUUACAAGUGUAAAGUUAUAACAAUACCAAACACAUAUCCGAAAUUAGAGAUUUCUCUAAAUCUCCAGACUUCCCACCCUCCCCUCCAUGGGUCUUAUUGUCAACAUUUUCAACUGCAUAUUAUUUCAUAAUCCAUAUUCUGUAUAUCUCCAUAUUGUCCAUAGUGUUUGUUACAUUACAAGUGUUAUUAGAAUCCUGCUAAUGUUUUCAUCUGCUUACAGUAGUCUCCUAAACAAAUGAUAAUUUCCCCCCGUUCUUUCUUGAAACUUUUGUCUUCUUGGUUCCUGAGUUUUCUGGUCAGUUUUGCCAUUUUGGUGUAGUCCAACAGCUUGGUUUGCCAUUCCUCUCUGGUAGGGACUUUAUCUUCUUUCCAUCUCUGGGUUAGUAGCAUCCAUGUAGCUGUUGUGACAUACAUGAAAAGUCUUUUCUGCUCCUUUGGGAUCUCCGUACCUACAAUUCUUAAUAAAAAAGCUUCUUUUUAAAAUAAAAGUUAUUUUAAACAUUUGUUUCAAUUCAUUAUAUAUCAUUCCCCAGAAUGCUUUUAUUACCUUACAUGACCAUCACAUAUGGUGAAAGGUACCUUCUUUUUCUUUACAUUUCCAGCAGGUAUUUGUACUUGUCUUAGACAUUUUUGCUAACUUAAAAAAAGUAAAGGACCCCUGACAGUUAAGUCCAGUCGCAAAAGACUCUGGGGUUGUGGCGUUCAUCUUGCUUUACAGGCCAAGGGAGCCGGUGUUUGUCCACAGACUUUUUCCAGAGACAAAUACCACUGCCCUCUCCCGGGAAAGCCUUCCUUCUUCACUGGGAAGGGCUUCAAAAAUUAAAAAAAUAAACGGAGAAACAGCCAUCUCCUCCUGAACCCUGUUGCCAAUAUUAGCAUCUAUAAAUCAUUAGUACCAUAUAACUUGAAUAAGAGCAGUUAUUUUUAAGUUCAACAGCUUUUACCUCUUUGCAAUGAACACCUUCCUUAAGUCAAUAGUAUGUUCUAAAGUUAUCCCUUACUCCCUUUAAGCAUCCUGCCAUGUUCAAAAUCACAGAAAAGGGAUUUUUUGGGAAUAAUUUAAGUAUAAUAAAUGAGAUAAUGAGCUUGGGAAAUCGAAGGGAUCCUGGUGGUCAAAGCUAGAUGGGUCAGAUGGGUGCAGUUUGAAGCUAUAUCUCUUAGCCCAGAGAGAUCAGCUGCCACUGGCUUUUUUUAACCAGAAACUCUCAUUCUUUAAAUGUCACAGAUUUAAAAGGGGCAAAUCAUUCUUUCAAUGUGCGUGCAUGUGCUUCCAGAACUCUUCUGAUUUUUCAGUGUGUUAGUUUAGACCUUUUCGGACUUUGGGUUUGCUGGAAAAUUGGCUCGCUUAAAAUUUUUUGUGUCGAUGAUGCAUAUUUUAGAUUCUUGACAGAUGAUUUUAAUGGGUUGUGAUUUUUAUUUCAUCGGAAUUGAUUGAUACUGUGGAUUUUACAACACAAUAUGUUGUUGUUUUGCUUUGUGAGUUGUUCUGGGAUCCCAGAUUGGGUUAUGAACGUGGGGUGCAAAUUUGAAAAAAAAUCAUGUAAGCACGUGGUUGGUUGUAAGUCACUUUGGGUUGCCUUUGGGCAAGAUAAAGCAACUAACACAUUUUUUUUUUUAAAAAAAUCAUCCUCAUCAUGGGAGGUAUUGUGAAUCAAACCCGCUGCUCUUUCCAUAGCUCCACCCCUUAAUCUGCUAAACCCCCACUUUGGUUUUUCAUUUUUUAGCACGAAGUUAAAGUGUUACAGAAUCUUGGAAGCCGGCUUUUACAGCCAUAGCGUAGCCUUCUUAGACUUUACCGACUGGUGGGGUCUGCGUUGCUCCCGGGAGGGAGAAAGGAAGUCAAAUGACACCGAGGUUGAUUCAGAGAAAAAGUUUAUUCUGCUCUCCAGAUAGCAGAAUGCACUUGCAUGGUCAGUUCACAGCAAGUCCAAAGAAAUGAGAAAUUUCAUACAGUAUAUAUAUCCUCCAGGCACCCUCUCCCCCCUUCCCCAGGAAUCCAGCCACGUCAGUUUAUACACGUAAGUUGACAUCCAUGACCAUAAACAGAUAUUCCUGUUCCGGUACUCUUGACCAUAAAAGGUUGUUCCUGUUCCUAUACUCUUAUCUUGGGGCAGGAGGUCACCAACUCUAAGAGCGCUCCUGGCGCCGUUCCUGGGUCUCUUGUCAGACCUGACGAGAUCUAUGCGUCUUUGUGGUCAAGAUGUAAGAUAAGACCCAGAAGUGCCAUCCCUGCUUCACUGGAACUGGCAAGGCCAUCCAUUGCUGUCACGGACUGAUAAAGGAGAGGGCUUGUUUAUACAGCUGGCUUUCUGUUUAUACAUUGACUCAAGAGCUCAAGUUAAUGCAUUUUAGAAAUGCUCCCUUGUAGGAGGAAAAAUGAGGAUUUUGGGUCCCGUUUCAGACUGACUGCACAGAAACCCAUUCCUUCCCCCUUCAGUAGAUACCUUUGGAAUACUUCAAAAUGUGUAACUGGGGAAAACUCACUUGGCUAUUUGUUGGCAUUGGUCAUGUCUUUGUCCCACAGUGCAAUUCAAACUAAGAUCUACCAGGAUGAAGGAGUUGGGUUGCUUUACUGGCUAAGCCAGGGACCAGUUGGGGCUAUGCCAGCAUAAGCCCCACAGAUAUGCCAGUGCAAAUCUUUCACACUGGCUCAUCUGGGGCUCAUCUGGCAGAAUUUAUAUUGGCAAAACUUGUGCUGGUGUAAGCCCACCUCCUCCCCCCCAAAAAAGGGGAUUUGGUGGAAGCAGGACAGGGUGACACGUGACUUAGCAACCAGGUGGCGAAGGUUGGAUUCCUCCUGAAUGGGGUCUUGAAUAGGGCCAACGUAAGCUGGUGUAAUGUACUCUAAUGUACAACACAUCAGCUUUUUAUAGUUUGGAUGGCUCUGUUAGCCUCAUUCAAUGUUUAGAGAAGAACCUAGCAGAGCCCUGCUAUAGAUAAGCAUUUGCUUACAGCUGCACAUUGGGAGCCUCAUUUAGCUUGCUUUAACUUUCAUUUGGGGACUUCUAAGAAGUGAGCAACAUAAUUUAAUUCCCCUUGAGAGUUUCUUAAGAGGAACUGGCAGCUCGUCUUGCUCUGGGAAGGAAUCUGGCAUGACAAACCUAUUGAUUAUGGGGUUGUCAUUCUUCUGUGUAGAGAAACAGUCACAUUCACCAUUAAGUGCUUAGCCUAAUGGCAAUUUGGAAAAGGAAUUGUUGAAGAAUGAACGAAAGCUUUUCAUUUUGCAUGAAAACAGAAUACUUUUCUAUAAACAGCAACAACAACAUCAACAACAUUUUUUUUUAUUUGUACCCCGCCCUCCCCGGGCUCAAGGCAGCUAACAUCAUAAAACUAACACAGUAUACAAAUGAACAUAAGAACAUAAAAACAGGCAGUCAAUUAAUUAAAAUACAUCUUAAAAUUAUUUAUUGGUAUGAGCUUUCAUGUGUAUGCACACAAAAGCGCAUACCAAUAACAAACUUAGUUGGUCUCUAAGGUGCUACUGGAAGGAAUUUUUUUAUUUUGUUUCGACUAUGGCAGACCAACACGGCUACCUACCUGUAUCUUAAAAUUAGUUCAGAACAAAUUAAAAUCUGGACAGAUGGCAGUCCAUGGGUAAAUUGAAAGUGGUUAAUAUUCUCUAGGGCCAACUGUUACCAACUAUGACACAGAUUAGUAUCUUGUGGGUUUAAACAUACCUCAAAGAUAAUAAUAGAAUUGAAGAGUUGGAAGGGACCACGAUGUGGAGUUCAAACCCAUAACUAUGAGAUUAAGAGACUAAUUCUCUACUGACUGAGCUAUCCAGCAGAGGAACUUUAAUGCAGCUUUUAUAAAAUAACUUGCUCUGAGCUGCAGAACUUUUUUUAAAAAAAAAAGAAAAUAAAGUUUAUUGUUCUAGCCAAAGGCCCUCAUAAACUUAUAUUCAGCAAUACUUUUAAUAAAACAUACAAAACAUACAUCCAUAAUAUAAAAAUCUGCAAAGACUUUGCCAAGUUCUUGAACGUUAAAACACAGUUUCCUUUCUGCAUCUCUGACAGAUCCAAUUCUAAUAUUAUUUUGCCUUUUUAAAAUCCAAUUUGCCAACAUCCAUGAAUACCAGAGAGACAAGAUGCCAGAGACACUAACAAACUCAAAUCCAACUUGAUUUCACUUUAAACCUCUGAAUCACCACAACAAUUUGCAGCAAUUGUAUCCAAUUCCUUUUUCUGUUUUUUCCCUUCCCAGCCAGUGCAAAGAGGGCCACUCUCUGUGUUAUGAGGCUAUUACUGUCACUCAAAACCCCCAAAUCGUUUCUGCCACGGUGUACCUGCUUGCUUGUGAGAACAAAGGUUUCAGAAAGUGAUCUCUUGGGUCUCUAUAUAAGGGGCAGGCAAAAAGAUAAUGAGUGAUGUCUUCUACUGAAGGUUGAGUACAAGUACAAAGAGACGGGGGUUCAUAGUUCACAUAAACUUCAGAUUCAGGCCUGGUCUGAACCCAAAAAACUUCUAUACCUUCCAACAUUUCUCCAAUGAAAAUAGGGAUGUCCUAUUCAAUAAUAACAACAAGAAGAACAGCAAUAAAUUUAGUAUUUAUACCCUGCCCAUCUAACUGGGCUGCCCCAGCCACUCUAGGUGGCUUCCAACAUAUAUAAAAACACAAUUGAGCAUUAAACAUUAAACUUCCCUAUACAGGGUUGCUUUCAGAUGGCUCGGGGGUCGGAUAACUCGAUACCCUCCAACAUUUCUCCAGUGAAAAUGGGGACAUCUUAAGGAAAAGUGGGAUAUUCUGAGAUCAAAUCAGAAACCAGGAUGGCUUCUGUCAAUCUAGGACUGCAAAAUAUUAAUAAUAUUAAUAUUAAUAUUAAUUUAUUAUUUAUACCCCACCCAUCUGGCUGGGUUUCCCCAGACACUCUGGGCAGCUCCCAACAGAAUAUUAAAAACAUGAUAAAACAUCAAACAUUAAAAACUUCCCUAAACAGGGCUCCCUUCAAAUUUCUUCGAAAAGUCAGAUAGUUGUUUAUUUCCUUGACAUCUGAUGGGAGAGCGUUCCACAGGGUGGGCGCCACUACCGAGAAGGCCCUCUGCCUGGUUCCCUGUAACCUCACAUCUCACAGUGAGGGAACCGCCAGAAGGCCCUCAGAGCUGGACCUCAGUAUCCAGAUUGAAUGAUGGGGGUGGAGACGCUCCUUCAGGGAUACUGGGCUGAGGCCGUUUAGGGCUUUCAAGGUGAGCACAAACACUUUGAAUUGUGCUCAGAAAUGUACUGGAAGCCAAUGAAGGUCUUUCAGGACCGGUGUUACAUGGUCUUGGUGGCCACACCCAAUCACCAGUCUAGCAGCCACAUUCUGGAUUAAUUGUAGUUUCUUGGUCACCUUCAAAGGUAGCCCCACGCAGAACGCAUUGCAGUAGUCCAAGCGGGAGAUCACUAGAGCAUGCACCACUCUGGCGAGACAGUCUGCGGGCAGGUAUGUGUACCAGAUGGAGCUGGUAGACAGCUGCCUGCACUUCCAUAGGCUCUGAUGCAACUGUUCACACGUAGACACCUUCUUAAAGCACAGUUAGACCUGUAUUGGGAUAUAUUUUUGGAAAAAGAAGCAUUUGUUUUACAGUGGUACCUCGGGUUACAUACGUUUCAGGUUACAUACACUUCAGGUUACAGACUCCACUAACCCAGAAAUAUUACCUUGGGUUAAGAACUUUGCUUCAGGAUAAGAACAGGAAUUGUGCAGCAGCAGCGCAGCGGCAGCGGGAGGCCUCAUUAGCUAAAGUGGUGCUUCAGGUUAAGAACAGUGUCAGGUUAAGAACAGACCUCCAAAAUGAAUUAAGUACUUAACCCGAGGUACCACUGUACUAUAUGGUUAUAUUCUUUUCUGUUUAAAAUUGUUAAUAUUACAGCUAUUGCCUGGCCAUUGCCUGUUAAGGAGAUUGUUAAUAGCCCAGUACAAUUGUUGUGUAUUAUUUUUUUUUGGGGGGGGGGGAAUCUGAUGUUUGAGAGAAAGUGGUUCCUUCCUUUGAGUGCUUGAAUGAGGGAACCAUCAGUUUAAGGAAGGUACCAGCCAGCUAAGAGAAGGAUCCUGCUGCAAAGUAUGCAUGUGUAGAGUUUAGAGUAUAGCUUUAGAGUUUUGCUGUUUCUUGAAUUUCUUACUGCCUGGGGAAGUGGGGAACUCAUAAUAAUAUAUAAAACAUUAAACCCGUCUUUAGAAAAAGAACACAAUAAAGUCUAGAGAAUUAUGUUUGAAAGCUGUGGUGCUGUUUAUGGAAUGAUAGAUAAAGCUGCAAACGAAGGCAAAUCUUGUGCACAUUUUUCAGGCCUGAGUCUAUUCAGCUCUGGAGAUUUUCAUAUCAGCGCUAAGUUGAUACCUUAAAAACUUUGCAUCAAUCUGAAUAAUGCUCCCUGGCUUCUGAUGAGCUGGUGUGUUCCCAGUGGUUUGUAUGCAUAUUUCAGGUGUUCAUUAAAAUAUUCUUACCCUCCUACACUCGGCACCUGCCACCUUCAAAAUGUGGAAGGCUACACGGGACAUGGGUGGCGCUGUGGGUUAAACCACAGAGCCUUGGACUUGCCGAUCUGAAGGUCAGCGGUUUGAAUCCCCCCGACGGGGUGAGCUCCUGUUGCUCGGUCCCUGCUCCUGCCAACCUAGCAGUUCGAAAGCACGUCAAAGUGCAAGUAGAUAAAUAGGUACCACACCAGUGGGAAGGUAAAUGGCGUUUCGCCAGAAGCGGCUUAGUCAUGCUGGCCACAUGACCCGGAAGCUGUACUCCGGCUCCCUCGGCCAGUAAAGCGAGAUGAGUGCCGCAACCCCAGAGUCAGUCACGACUGGACAUAAUGGUCAGGGGUUCCUUCACCUUUACCAUCAGAAUGGGACAAGGGUAAUAUGCACAAAAUGGAAAAUGAAAUUUGGCUUGCAUUAGAGCUCACCAGGAGCACGAGAGCUGAUGAUCUGAAAGGGUUAGCUGUUAGCCUGGUGGUAGAUAUAAUGUUGGAGCCAAUCAAUUUCCUUUGGCAGCCAUUUUGUUGGUGGCUAAGGGAAAUUACAACAAAGUGACCUACAAUCCUCUGUGCCAAGUUGAGUACACACUCUUCGAUACCAAAGAGCUCCCUCACCCAUUUACCCUCUUAUUUCUGUCACUCUUUUGUGAAAUCCUUAAUAUCGUAGACUGUAAUGCAGAGUUUGGAGAACAGCCGUGUGAAGAGAUUGAUGUUGUUCCUUGCUAAAGUUUUCAGACUGAUUAGCACCUGCAUAGGAAACCGUUGGGGAGAACGACACCAGUUGCUGUGACUUAAGGAAGACUGGGAAUCAAAUUAAAAUAAAAAAUACAAGCCCAAUAAAUAACAACAAUAACCUUUCCAAAGCUGAUUUCUACCCGAAAGCGUUCAAAGAGGGUAAGGAUCAGGGCAAGAGUUCUUCGGGUGCUUAUUCAUUAGUCCAUUUCUUAAUGAAUCUGAGUUGCUGAGAAAAUGUUAGAACAGGCAUAGGCAAACUUGGCCCUUCAGAUGUUUUGGGACUACAACUCCCAUCAUCCCGAGCUAACAGUAAUAUUGAUUAUUAGUGACUUCAGCUUUCCUAGACAUAAGAAAAUACCGUAUUUUUUGCUCUAUAAGACGCACCAGACCACAAGAAGCACCUAGUUUUUGGAGGAGGAAAACAAGAAAAAAAAUAUUCUGAAUCUUACAAGCAAGAGGGAUCGCUGCGCAGUGAAAGCAGCAAUCCCUCUUGCCAGUGGCGCAGCGUGGGUUGUCAGCACCCGGGGCAAGGCAAGUAAUUUGCGCCCCCUAACCCGUGGAUUUGCGCCCCCUAACCCGUGGAUUUGCGCCCCUAACCCUAACCCCCAGAUGUUGCGCCCGGUGCGGCCGGCCACCCCUGCACCCCCCACGCUACACCACUGCCUCUUGCUGUUCUGGCUUCUGGGAUAGCUGCGCAGCCUGUAUUUGCUCCAUAAGACUCACACACAUUUCCCCUUACUUUUUAGGAGGGAAAAAGUGAGUCUUAUAGAGCAAAAAAUACGGUAAUUUGGGUUUAGACUGUCAUCAUCUAAAAUGGACAAUGAUUUCAAUAUAGACAUUAACAGCUGCCUCCCUGUUGAGUGUUCUGUAUUUUAAAGUGUGUACAAUAGUGGCCAAGAUUAUGGAAACCUUUUGGAAAAAGUGUAUUUCUGAGGUUUGGUGGCUCAUAACACCUGACUGGCUACAUUCAAAUGAAGGAAAGUAUAUCAAGCUAAGCAAGUUGUGCUUCCUUCUUCUGGUUAUUUGGCUAUAACUUUUGAUGGAAUACAGAUAAUUGAACAAUAAAAAUUGAAUAAUAAUAAUUGAAAUUGUUGCAUUACAUUCUUUAUUAAAUUAUCUUUCCAUUGAUAUAUAAUUUUAUGGUAUUACUAAAAUAAAAGUGGUAUUAAGUAAAGGGGUAAAGGGACUCCUGACUAUUAGGUCCAGUCGUGACCGACUCUGGGGUUGCGGCACUCAUCUCGCUUUAAUGGCCGAGGGAGCCGGCGUACAACUUCCGGGUCAUGUGGCCAGCAUGACUAAGCCACUUCUGGCGAACCAGAGCAGCACACGGAAAUGCCGUUUACCUUCCUGCCGGAGUGGUACCUAUUUAUCUACUUGCACUUUGAUGUGCUUUCGAACUGCUAGGUUGACAGGAGCAGGGACCGAGCAACGGGAGCUCAUCCUGUCGUGAGGAUUCGAACCACCGACCAUCUGAUGGGCAAGUCCUAGGCUCUGUGGUUUAACCCACUGCACCACCUUAAAAAUACACUUACAUACAAUUGUCACAAACCUUGCUUAUUUGUUUGAAAGGCAAUAUCAUGCAACACAAUAUGAUGUUAUGCAAAAGGGAAAUUACUGCCUCAUCUGUCUUUGCACACCUAUUAUCAUGGGAAAAGCAGAUAUAUUUGAUUUAUUUAGGCCGUGUACACAUUACCAUUCAGUCUGGCUCCAGCAUUCUUCCUUUGUUGAUGUUUGAAGCAUAGGGCACAUGACAUUCACCCCAUUCCAUACGUAUCCUGCAGUUUCUUGAGAAAUACCCCUUUUUGGUGCAUUCUCCCUCAAACCAGCUUCCUACCAAAUUGAAAACAUGAACUGCUCUUAAGUUGAGAUGUGUCCUUUUGAGAUAGCCGUUGCACAUGCUCAGAUGACAGUUUCACUGGAUAGCAAUUUGGUGUGGGUGUGUUUUCAUACGUGGGGAAGUCAGGCAAGUAACUCAUAUCAAGUGAAGACACCAUCUCCCCCAGCCUAUGUGUUGAGCAACACAAAAAACUCGACUCAAAACGCAUUGGGGGAAACAACCUCAGUGCAUUUUAAGCUGCUAAUGUGUACCUAGCCUAAAUCAAGAGCAAAUGCUUUAAGUUGUUUAUAGGCAGCAACCUCAGCAAUUGGGAAUAGCGGUAAAGCAAAGGGGAAAACAUUAAUAAGAUCAUUUGUCAUCUAAUCAUUCUUUCCAGUUUGUUCAAAAUUAGAUUUAAAGCUGCUGGCUAAUAGGGGGAUUAUACAGUUUUCCAUGCAUGAUUUGAAGUACUGUUUGUUCAGCUCCUUAAAAAUAAAUACAUCAGGGAUUCAUCAAUAUAGCUCGGGACAGCAAGGAUAUCCAAUAUCUAUUAAAAAGGAUUGAACAAUCUAUCACAGGGCUUCUUGAUACGUGUAUUGUAGCCCAAGCUUAAUAAUUCUCAAUGUUCCUGCUUAGCCAUAGAAGACGGUGUUGUGGUUGCUUGUCAACCGUUUCCUUUUUAGCCUAAUAGCUCAGAAGGCUUGCCUGAUGGGAGAUAAGAAUUGGGGAGAUAUGUUUGUCUGGCAGUUGAGAUUCUUCUAAAUGUCAUGCCCAAAAGCACUGGCGAAGUUUGCACAUGCACCAGGAGAAGAGAAUUAUUGCAUGUGUGUGAAAAACGAGAGCUAGCAGUUAGCGGUGGAGCAAGCCAAUGGGUGCCUAAGCCACCGCAUCACUCCCAAGAGAGACGCGUGACUUGGGCGUGCUGCAGACCCCGUGGUGAGUGCCGCUCACCAUUUUGUCACCCCCUAAGUGCCCCCACCACACCCCAUUCCUCUGCCCCUGCUAGAAGUCAGCCCAGAAGAGAGAGAGGCAAGGGCAAUAAUUGUCAGGAGCUGGUCCUACAUUCGAGUAGGACCCUGGUAGAUGCAUGCCCGACUGGCAUGUUCUCUCCCUCCCGGGCGAUCGUUCGGGAGCUUCGAAAGCUUUCUUCUGCCCGAACAUCAAAGCGAGCGAUGCCAAAAGACACCAGCACACUUAGGGAUCCACAGAGACUUCGUGGCUUGCAUAACAGACCUCAGCAACUCAGCAUUUUGGCUAAUCUACUUUAUUUACAUGUAAACACACGCGGAGCACUGCAACAUGGCUCCCUCUCUCUCUAACAUCAGACAGCAAAGAGAAAAAGAACAAAGGACAAUAGUCCCACUUCACAGAACACAGUAACACAAACAUCUUGUCUCCGUCACUUCCCACUUUGUGGAGUCAAAACAUACACCGCCAUUUGACAGACAAAAAUCCCAUGACUGCAAUCAUGGAACAGGAAUUCUAACAAUAAUAGCAGAGCGAGAGAGCUAUGAGCUUGCCAGAGGCAUUUAAGGGAUGCAGGAUACUUUUCUAUGGGUCUCUGUUGCCAGGUAGCAGAUCUGCUGCCUUGCAGGAGUGCCUCCUCUAUGCAUCUCUAUAUAUGCAAACAGAGCAAAUUAUUACCCCCCAAAAGCCACAAGCCACCAGUACUAUAUCCCAUGCAAUGGAAAACAAACCCAGAAAGCACUGCAUUUAGAUUAGGGCUACGUGCUGCUGCUGAUGUAUCCAAAAGUUGGGUGUCGUUACCUCACACUUUCAUGCAUACCUUUGCAUGCACAGUGCACACACACAGAGGCACACUGCCACCCUAUACAUAGCUGAUCUGUGCAAAUCAGCUAAAGAGAGGAGAUCGUUCUGUUGACCAGGUGAUCAAGAGUGGAGGUGUAUACUUUACAAGGUUGUUAUUGUUCUUCACCAGAUCUUAACCUAUGACAGUACAGUGGAUGCUCAGGUUGUGAUCCGUGUGGGAAGCACGUUCGCAACACGCAGCAUUUGCAACCCGCGACCCGUGCAACUGUGCACAUGCGGAUCGCGCUUCGACGCUUCUGCACAUGCGCAAAGCGCAAUUUAGCACUUCUGCGCAUGUGCAAGCGCCAAAACCCGGAAGUAACCCAUUCUGGUACUUCCGGGUUCGGCACUGUGUGCAACCCGAAAUCGCGCAACCCGAAGCGUCUGUAACCCGAGGUAUGACUGUAUUUGUAAGAAUGGAUUCCAAAUAUCAUCGAAUUUGUCCAUGGAAAGUCUGUGUUUAUAGGCAUUUUGUUCAUAUGUUGUGAGUUUGUAUAAGUUUUCAAUCCAAUCGUAGAAGGGAGCUGCAUUUUUAUUUUUCCAAUUCAUCAGCAUCAGUCUUUUUGCUGUGGUAAAGGCACGGAGAGUCCACUCGUAUUGUCCUUUUGUAAGGUUACAUGUGCUGGGUAUAUGAUUCAAGAGGAUAUUUUGCUCUGUAAAUGUAUGGUUGUUCCGUACAGGUCUGUUGAUAGUUUCAGUUACCUUCUGCCAAAAAUCUUUCAAUAUAGGGCAAUGAAAAAACAUGUUUUAGAGAAGCAUUAUUCCUAUUGCAUCUCCAGCAGUUAGAUACCUUAGAUAGCCCCUUUGUAAACAAACAUAAUGGGGUCCAUUAUAUUCUAAAUAGUUUUUGACAUAGGUCAUGUUUUGAGUGUCACAGGGGUAGAUCAUUUGGUCCUGCCUAUGUUGUUGGGCUCCAACUUCCAUCGGCCAGCAACAUCUGGAUGCCCACAGAUUUCUGGAGUACAGAAUGAGAGCCAGAAAACCUGGUUCCUAUCAGUGGCUCGGUGCUUUGCAAGGAGUUGUGGGCUCUUUAUGUCUCUGUUCACACCUGUGAACAGAAGUAGCAGCAUUGGAAGCUACAGAAGUCUUUGGACUCAGCUACAUUAGUAAGGAAAUGUUGUUUUGAAUGUGUUAUAAACAGGCAACACCAGAGGGCGCAGGAGAGUAAAAAAAAUAUUCUAUGUGAUUUUCCAUAGUGUUUUCCCCCCUUUUGUUAGAACGAUUUCAUUUCUGGCUUAUUUGUAGCGUUUUUCCUCCUGUGUGUAGAUUCAUCCUUUCUCUCUGUAUGCUGCUGCCACCCUGCUCAGGUGAGUUGACUGACUCGCACAGAGCCCUGAUUUGCUGAAUUGAGCCAGCAAGUCCAAAGGGGGUUGCAAAACAUCUGCUUUUAAGGAGCUUUUACAUGCCUUGCCUACUUUUACACAGAAUGUUGAAAGGGGAAGGGGCGUUUUUGUUGUGGUGGUGGUGACACAGUUUUGGAACUCCUUCUGUUUAAAGGCUCAUUUGAGUUAAUCUUUGCGUUCCUUCUGGUUCAAGGCUUUCCCAGGAGGCUUUGGGAAUGCUGUGAAGCGACUUGCAAAAGGCUCUGUUUCAUAGCAUUUUAGCAUAGUCUGCAUUUUGCUGUUUUAUUGAUGUUGCCUUGAUCAAUAUGUAAUCCACUGUAAGCCUAUGCUACAGAAAGAGAAGGGUAAGCAACAAAGUAUUUGAGUAAUAAAAAUUUAGCGGGUGUGUCCCUGGUUGUGAGGCAUUCUGUACUGUGUAGCAAAACACCACUUCCCUGGCGGGAGUGAAUGAUUCACACUUUAUCCUUUAUUAUCUGCAAAGGUGAAUGCGCAAAUAAGAUUGUAUAUAAAGUUGAAUGACAGAGGCAGUCAGACUUUGCCACUGCAGUGUCCACAAGGGAUCACAGUCUUGGUACAAAGGUGUCAUUGUUUUUCUUGUUGCUGUUUAGUCAUGUCCGACUCUUCGUGACCCCAUGGACCAGAGCAUGCCAGGCACUCCUGUCUUCCACUGCCUCCCACAGUUUGGUCAAACUCAUGCUGGUAGCUUCGAGAACACUGUCCAACCAUCUCGUCCUCUGUCGUCCCCUUCUCCUGUUCCAGGCUCUCCUGCCCUCCAUGCUGUAUCAUUGACUACCUCUGUGGGAAAGCACACAAAAUGGUGGUUGAUGUCAGAACAAGGGGUAGGGAAAGGAAAACCUGACAUGGGGCAGCGAGUUUGGAGGCAAACUCUGUUUUUUUUUAAUCAUUACUUGUAAUUCUGCCCACAGAAAGAUAGCAAAACUUCAUAAUAGAAAUUGUAAUAGCCCCCUCUGCUUUUAGCUCCAAUAUUUUUUCUGGCCGUUCAGAUAACGGCAGCGGCCAAAAGGUGAAAUCAUUUUCAGACGUGGUUUUCUUUUCAUCUUGUAUGGCUGAGCCUUUCUGGCCUGGCUCCUUACCUGAUGCAAAUUGGAAGCAUGCUCAGAUCUGGCCUGCUAAACUUGGAACGCCAUCUGUCAAUUGUCAGAGUGUUGCUUUCUCCCUGCAGUCAGCAGUUGAAGCAGUAAUUAGGAAAAGCUACGAACAGAAGGCAUAAAAACGGCUCCCUCUUCCCCAGUUGAAAAGAUUGGUAUCGCCAUCCACUCGAGGGAGUGCUGAGAAAGCAUGAUACCUCAAAAGAAAGCUGUGAUUUGCAUAAAACCCUACUCUAUUUAUUUGCAGAAGCUGGGGAUUCUAUCACUUAUUCAUAAUGGUGGUUACGAACCAGGCACAUUUAGUGUAUAAGAUGCAAUCAGCUCCCCCAAACCUUAAUAAUUUAGCUGGUAAUCACAAUCUUUUUUGGGGGGUGGGUGAAAAAUGACUUCUCCUUACACCAGGAAGCCUUUCUUUGGGUACUUUUCUCUGCAGAUAGGAGAAAAUGAGGGCAGGCUUUCCAUUGUUCGAACAGCUCCAGAAGGGAAGUCCACCAUAUGGAUAUGAAACAUGUGCCUUGAUGGAACCUUGUGAUGAAACAAUGUGACGGAACCUUAAAGAAUCAGCAGCUGGUCUAAUUCUGUAAUAUGAUAUGGCCAGUGGUGGAGCUUCAUGCUCCGACACCAAGGGCGAAGAGCAGGCGGGGGCGGGGCUGGCGCGUGUCCUGGGGUGUGGUGCGCCCCCUAUGGGGGUGUGGUGCCCAGCAGUGGCGGGGGUCAGCCGUGAUGGCACCCCACUGGGAUCGCGCUGCCGGGGGCAGUGCGCUCCCCCCGCACUCCUCUUCCUCCGCCAAUGGAUAUGGCCCAAGAAUUGCAUCAUGUACUUCAUGCUCAUUGGCAUCUAUCUGUCUUGAGAGACCUCUGGGGGUGAAGUCAAACCCGCGAAGAAUCACAGUGCCUGCUGUGGCUGCAGAGGCCGGUAACUCAUAACUGCUGCAUCCCGGGUUGCUUUUGCUACAUCACCAACACCAAAGUGACCUCUCCGGGGCGCCCAGGUGACAUGACCCCCGUCUCAGCCUCGCUGAUGUGGUCCAAAGGAAAGCAGAGCAAUAUAUUUUAUUAAAUUUUCUGUACUCAUUUUACAUCCUUAACAUAUCAGUGACUUCCCUUCUUCUCUUUUGUGGUUCAUUUUACAUAUCAUAAAUCCCUGCAUAUUUUACAAAAACAAUACCAUUCAGUAUUCCAUUAUUGCAUCCAUCAAAACUUGUUUACACUGUUGAAUUUAUCUUAAUGCUGCCAGUAUCUUCAGCUAUACACAGUUAUUUCCCAUAUAUGCAAUAAACAUUUUCCAAUCUUCUUUAAAUGCAUGUUCUUCUUGUUCUCUUAUUCUAUAAGUUAGAUCUGCAAGCUGUGCAUAUUCCAUCAGUUUAAGUUGCCAUUCUUCUUUGGUUGGGACCUCGCUUGUUUUCCAUUUUUGGGCUAACAAAACAUGGGCCGCAGUAGUGGCAUACAUAAAUAACCUUUUUUGACACCUGGGAAUUUCAGUCUGAAUUAUCCCCAAGAGAAAGGACUCUGGCUUUUUUGGGAAAGUACUUUUAAACAUCCCCCCCCAAUUCCCAAUACAGUGGUACCUCAGGUUAAGUACUUCAUUCGUUCCGGAGGUCCGUUCUUAACCUGAAACUGUUCUUAACCUGAAGCACCACUUUAGCUAAUGGGGCCUCCUGCUGCCACUGUGCCGCCAGAGCACAAUUUCUGUUAUCAUCCUGAAGCAAAGUUCUUAACCUGAGGUACUAUUUCUGGGUUAGCGGAGUCUGUAACCUGAAGCGUAUGUAACCUGAGGUACCACUGUACUCCCAAUACUUUUACAAGUCCACCACAUAUGAAGGAAUGUUCUCUCUACCUCUUUGCAUCUCCAGCACUUAUCUGAUUCAGUCUUAUACAUCUUAGCAAGCCUACUCAGCGUUAAAUACCACCUGUGAAUCAUUUUCAGGUAGUUCUCCAAAAGCAGAGCAAGACGUUUGGCACCAGCUUGGCUCCAGGAGUUGCCAACUGCUUUAGGGACUCAAGGCAGCAGGUACAGAUUUUUCCUCAGGGUUUACUCCCAAAGCCUUCCUCAUGAAUUGAAUAUAGUCACAAGGCAAUGGAAUGCCUUCCAUAGUUCUAGUUACAGGUAGGUAGCCAUGUUGGUCUGCCGUAGUCGAAACAAAAUAAAAGAAAUUCCUUCCAGUAGCACCUUAGAGACCAACUAAGUCUCUGAAGAACUUUAGUAUCUGAAGAAAUGUGCAUGCACACGAAAGCUCAUACCAAUAACAAAUUUAGUUGGUCUCUAAGGUGCUAGUAGAGGGACGCGGGUGGUGCUGUGGGUUAAACCACAGAGCCUAGGACUUGCCGAUCAGAAGGUCGGUGGUUCAAAUCCCUGCAACGGAGUGAGCUCCCGUUGCUCGGUCCCUGAUCCUGCCAACCUAGCAGUUCAAAAGCACGUCAAAGUGCCAGUAGAUAAAUAGGUACCAUUCCGGAGGGAAGAUAAAUGGCGUUUCCGUGCGCAGCUCUUGUUCACCAGAAGUGGCUUAGUCAUGCUGGCCACAUGACCCAGAAGCUGUAUGCCGGCUCCCUUGGCCAAUAAAGCAAGAUGAGCACCGCAACCCCAGAGUCGAUCACGACUGGACCUAAUGGUCAGGGAUCCCUUUACCUUUUUUAAGGUACUAGUGGAAGGAAUUUUUUUAUUUUGUUUCGACUAUGGCAGACCAACAUGGCUAGAACUAUGGAAGGCACCACAUUGAGCCACAUGAAAUGGAAGUCCAGGUAUUUGAAGAAGUGUGCAUGUACACGAAAGCUCAUACCAAUAACAAACUUAGUUGGUCUCUAAGGUGCUACUGGAAGGAAUAUUUUUAUUUUGUUUUGAAGGUAAUGGAAAUUUAGGAUCAGGGCUUUCCUUCUCCAAGAAGGGCUGCCUUCCCAGGCUGAGGAGACCCAUCAGCCCCUUAUACACUUUAGAAGGGGUCACCGGCAGUGGGGUCUCUUCCUCUAGCUGAAACUAUAUACAGUGGUACCUCGGGUUAAGUACUUAAUUCGUUCCGGAGGUCCGUACUUAACCUGAAACUGUUCUUAACCUGAAGCACCACUUUUUCUAAUGGGGCCUCCCGCUGCUGCUGCGCCACCGCUGCAUGAUUUCUGUUCUCAUCCUGAAGCAAAGUUCUUAACCUGAAGCACUAUUUCUGGGUUAGCGGAGUCUGUAACCUAAAGCGUAUGUAACCUGAGGUACCACUGUAUAAUGAAGCAUUCUAUUUUAGCCAAACAAACAGCUCGUGGUGUGUACUUGGUUGCAGUCUGUUGCAGUUUGUGGUCACCACAGAAGUUCAGUUUGCAAAUGUGUCCACAGUUCCUCAAAGGUUGGUGACCCCUGGUCUAGCAACUUAUUUUUUAAAAAUAAUUUAAUUUGUAGAUGAAUGCAUCUUCUCCUCUGAAUUGAUGUACAGUGGUACCUCGGGAUGCGAAAAGGAUCCAUUCCGGAGCCCCGUUUGCAUCCUGAAUAGAACGUAAGACGCGACGGCACGUCUGUGCGUGUGUCGCGUUUUGCCGCUUCUGCGCAUGGCGUCAUUUUGAGAGUCUGCGCAUGCGCGAGCGGUGAAACCCAGAAGUAAUGCGCUCCGUUACUUCCGGGUUGCCGCGGAGUGCAACCCAAAAGAACUCAACCUGAAGCACAUUCAACCCGAGGUAUGACUUUAUUUAUAUUUAUUUAUUACUCUUGUAUGCCAGCUUUCAACCACAUUGCUCAGAAUGAUGUCCUUGGUUCAACUCUCCUUAUUUUAUCCUCAGGAAAAUGUUUUGAGGUAGGCUUGGUCCACAACCUGGGGCUGAAUUCAGGUCCGAAUUCACUUCCAUUCAACCUUUGCUAUGAUUUCAAAGCUUGCAAUAGGGUGCCCGGACCCGCAGUUCCACAGAAAGCAGAAUCCAUAUAAGCAUUAGCUCGGCUUGAUUAUCCUUUUGCCCAUAUCUGAUCCACAGCCUGAAUCACAUCUGCUGAGCAUGAGCCACAUUUUGUAUAUGCAUGGCAAUUAUGUCGACAGCUAACCUUUUCAAUAUCCGCCCCCCCCUUUUGUCAUAUAUUUUUCCUGAUCUCUCUUAAGGCCCCAUAAUCAUUUCCCACACGGCUAAUCUUUUUCUUCACAGAUCUCAUUCUUGCAUUUAAUUUUCACUGUGGAUUCAUGUACUUCCUAAAUUCCUUAAAUCGCUACAUCAUUAAGCAGAGCACCUUCCCUUAUUUCCUAAAGUACAAUUACCAAAGUAGCUUUUUAUCUCUCUUUAAUUUGUUCGUGCUAAAAUGACCAGAUGAUAUUGAAGGAACAGACUGUAUCUCAGUACAUUUGCUACAUAUUUGAGAGAACAGAGCAGUAGACUUGGGCUGGCCAGAUGUGGGUUCAAAUUCCCAGUCAUCUAUGAAGAACCCAGGACAAAUUAUUAUCACUCAGCUAGGGGAGGCAUUUUCAAUUUAUCCUAGUUUCUCACUUUUCCUUUCUUAUGUUCAGUUUUUUUACAUUUCCACAUCCAUUUGUAAUUUUGUACCAGUUGUUUUGAAAAUUCAUUGGCAGAUUUCUAAGAAAGACACAUUUUCUGUAUAACUAUAUCUAAUGUACAUGUUUUUGCAAAUAUUUCCCUCCCAAUAUACUGAAUGCUAGUUUCACUAAUAUAUGCAGUGAUAUCAGACCCUCAAAGUGUCCCUAUUUUCCAGGGAUGUCCCUGAUUUAGAGAAGCCAUCCUGGUUGCUGAUUUGAUCCUGGAAUGUCCCACUUUUCCUUAGGAUGUCCCUAUUUUCACUGGAGAAAUGUUGGAAGGUAUGGAAUUAUCUGACCCCCAAGCCAAUUGAAGGCAAUCCUGUAUAGGGAAGUUCUUCAAACAUUUAAUGUUUUAUUAUGUUUUUAUAUACUGUACGUUGGAAGCUGCCCAGAGUGGCUGAAGCAAUCCAGUAAGAUGUGUGGGGUAGAGUCGGUGGAGGAGGAUUGGAAGAAAUUCAAAGACUAUUUACAGAAACACUACAAAAUUAAAGAAUGCUAGAGUGAUGUUGGAUGGAAAAUAAGUGGUUUCCAGCUGUACAGGAUUUAAAGUUAUAAAUAGAUUAAGAUUAAAGAUUAGGAUUAAAGAAGUUUAAGGAAAUGGAAAUUUGGUAUUUUAAGAGGUAAAAUUUUAAUGCUAUAUUAUAUUAAAGAUUAAAGAUUGGGAUUAAAAAGUGGAAAAGAAAUUGCUGGACAAACAAUUUGGACUGGAAUACAAAAGAGGGAGGUAUGAGGAGGUCCAGAAAAUAAGUAAAUUUAAACACGGAAAUGAAAAGGUGAUUGUCUUUAAUUGUUCUGUUUCUUUUUUAUUCUUUCUUUGGAUUAUGUCCUGUGUAUUUGUGUAUUUCCUUUUUAUGUGUAUUUGUGUAUUUCUUUUUUAUGUUUUUCUGUUUAAUUUUUUACUGAAAACUCAAUAAAAAAUUAUUUUAAAAAAAAGAUGUGUGGGGUAUAAAUAGUAAAAUUAUCGUUAUGGAAUGGGUCUUCCUUAUUUUUAUCGGAGAAAUGUUGGAGGGUAUGUAAUAUGCAUAAUUUGCCCUAGGACGUGCAUUUUUGUUCACAUUACUUGGACAGACAACUGCACUGAAAAAUUUGGAGAAGUGUCAGUUCUGAAGGAUACCGGGUACUCUUUUAGAAAAUGUGAAUUAGGUUAAGUUUGCCUUUAAAUGCAAACUGAAAAAAAUUCUGCCCCAUUCCUACCCUCAACCCAACUGACUUUAAAAUGAUUGUUGUGGGAAAUACCAUGAGACCUUCAUGUAUGCAACCCAGGCUUUUAUGACAGUAACUCAAAUCUAGAAAAACUCAAAAUGUUCCAUAAGUGGUAUUAGUUAGAGAAGCUGUGGUCUAAACCACCGAGCCUCUUGAGCCUGCCAAUCAGAAGGUCGGCAGUUUGAAUCCCCGUGACGGGGUGAGCUCCCUUUGUCUGUCCCAGCUCCUGCCAACCUAGCAGUUCUAAAACAUACCAGUGCCAGCAGAUAAAUAGGUACCACUGCAGCGGGAAGGUAAACAGCUUUUCCAUCACUGUGUCCCAUUGCACCAGAAGCAGUUUAGUCCUGCUGGCCACAUGACCGGAAAGCUGUCUGUGGACAAACGCCUGCUCCCUUGGCCUGAAAGCGAGAUGAUUGCCACAACCCCAUAGUUGCCUUUGAGUGGACUGAACCGUCCGGGGGUCCUUUGUCUUUACCUGGUUAGAAAAACAAGACCAACGAUAACAGAAUGGAAGACACUUAAUGAUAGAAUAUUUCCAACUAGCAAAGUUGACGGGAAAAGUAAGGGGAGCUUUAAAUCAGAAAACGUAUGGAGAAUGGAAAAUAUUUAAGGAAUACAUAAGAUUAUAUUGUAAAAAUAAUACCAUCCUAGCAGAACUUGAAUGAUACUUGUGAACAAAAAGGAAUGAAACAAAUGCUUUAGUGUGAUAUAUGAAAAAGGAUAUAAAGCUGUGCGAUAAAACCAUGACAACAGAAACAGUAUAAUUGGAUUGGAAGUUUUAUGCAGAAAUUUUUAUUUGAAAGCUAUGAUUUUGUAUAACUUUUUGGCUUUUUUUCUUUUUUCUUCUUUUCUUUUUUGCCUUUUUAAAUUUUUCCCACUUUUAUGUCUUGAUGUUUUCUUCCUUUUGUAUUUAACUUUUCUAUAUGUACUUUCGUUGUCGUUUGUAUUUUAAAUCAAUAAAUAUUUACCACGAAAAAAAAGCAUUUUUGGAGAGUAUACCAAGUAAGAAACAGAAACUUAGAACAACUGUCACAAUAAAGUACCGAAAGAAUCUUGCUUCUCCAAGGCCAACUUGACAGGUGAAUGGCACUCUUGCAUUGCAUCCUGUUAUGCCUAUUGGUGUGGUUGCUCGAGAACGAUCAGGCAAGAUGCCACACUGGUCUUGUCAAAAGCUUUAUUAUUGGUGCUAAAACCUUUACAAUGCAGAAUGCCUCUAUUCCAUGUCUUGCUCACUGGCAGAAUCUGAGCGUGGGCGGUCCUUAAACUUUCCCCAGCAGAGUAGUUUCUUGACCCCCAGCCUACGCCUCCCCUCUCUCCCCUCUCUGCGUGAAAGCCUGCUGCGCAAGGAAGGCUUGGGUAAAGGGGAACCUCCUUCCUCCCCGCUUUGCUCAGGCAAGGUGUCCUGGCACCGCCUUGCCUCCUCUGAGCACAACAGUACAUUUCCGAGCACAAUUCAAAGUAUUGGUGCUGACCUUUAAAGCCCUAAAUGGCCUCGGUCCUGUAUACCUGAAGGAGCGUCUCCACCCCCAUCGUUCUACCCAGACACUGAGGUCCAGCUCCGAGGGCCUUCUGGUGGUUCCCUCACUGCGAGAAGCCAAGUUACAGGGAACCAGGCAGAGGGCCUUUUCGGUAGUGGCGCCUUCCCUGUGGAACGCCCUCCCACCAGAUGAGAACAACAACUAGAAGACAUCUGAAGGCAGCCCUGUUUAGGGAAGCUUUUAAUGUUUGAUGUAUUAGAGUAUUUUAAUAUAUUUUUUUGGAAGCCGCCCAAAGUGGCUGGGGAAGCCCAGCCAGAUGGGCGGGGUACAAAUAAUAAAUUAUUAUUAUUAUUAUUAUUAUUAUUAUUAUUAUUAUUAUUAUCCGAGCCUUGCAGCUCUUCCCCACUAGAGGCGUGGCUUCCUUCCUCCGCUGAGGAAGUGCUGCUUCCCACGAUUUUCUGAGGCUCUCUGUAAUCCGUCUGCCUUUCCCCCUCUCGCCUCUGAGCCGAUGGCAGUUCCCUGACACAACCUCUGUGCCCUAGUUAAAUAUGGAAAAGUUAUUGACUAGAGUAACAGGAUCACAUUGAAGGGCAGUUGGCAAGGAUGCCUUUUAUUUUACCCGUGUGAGAUCAGUGUAUUAUUGUAUUUCAUUAUUGUAAACACUACACAGAAACAUUUCUUUUAGAAAUGACCAGGCUAUCCCAGCACUGCUCAUCUCUGAAUUUGCCCUCCCGGUUUCCAGAAUGUCCCUAGAAAAAACAUGUCAUUUCAUGUUUAUACCUUAUCCUUUAUUCAGUGUGAAACAUUAUCACCAAUGCUUUAGAUGAUACGUAUCCAUAUUGCAAAGGAAGCCACUCAUCUCAUCAUUUGUUAAUUUGCCUCUUUCAAGAUAUUUCCCCUGUGAUUAAAUCCUCUUUCCACGAUUUCUGCAAAGGUGGUGAUAGAUAACAGUAGUUUGGGGUUUCCAACAAACUACUUCUUCUUUUCUUGCCGACUGAGGGAAAACAGCUUUUGAGUGAUAAUUAAGUGAAAUUGGCAGAAGGGAUUUGAUAAGCGUAGCUUCUUAAUACUCCAACAUAAUUAAGUUAUAUGAAAUCUAUUGCAAAUCACAGCCUUUUUCCAAAGCAAAGAUAGCAAAACUAUUUAAAGGGUUUAAUUUUACAGGUGCUCAGAAUAUAGGACUGCAAAUAUUUAUUGACAUAUUCCUUCCAAUUUAAUUUUUUUUUUUUUUAAAGUAACAAGCAUAAAAGAUUGGGAGAAGAAAUCAUAAUUGAAGAUCAGCAAAUUGCUCAUUUUCCUUGCCUUCUUUCUUUUAACUGACUUAGUGGCAGACAGUGAGAAAUAAUUGUAAGAGCUAGCAGCUACUUUUACGACAUUACAGUGAGUUCUUAAAAAAAACCAAAAACCUGGGGAAAGUGGGGAAAGCAUAAACAAUAUUGGCACUAAGAAUGGAUUGAGCACUUCUGUUCAUUGAGAGGAGACUGUUGUGACAGUCCUAACUACAUUAUUCUUAAGCCUCCACCGUGUUAAUAUAUUUAGCAUUUUAAAAUACUUUGCAUUGGUGGCAAGGAAUAUUUUAUGUAAGUGCUGCAAAAAUCAAAUGUGUGAAAUCUUUGAACAUGAUGUAAGAUGGAAGGCAGGUAAGGAAAUUAUUUCCUGAGCUGACCCACAAGAUGCCACAGUUUGAGGGUAUACUGUGUCAAUGUACUACUGUCAGUCACUCUUCUCCAGGAUGAAGAGGAACCAUUGAUGAGCACCCUUUGGGUUCGGUCAGUCAGCCAGUUACAAAUCCACUGAGUGGUAGCAUAGUCAAGACCACAUUUUACCAGCUUCUUUACAAGAAUAUCAUGAGGCACCUUGUCAAAUGCCUUGCUGAAAUCAAGGUAGGCUACAUCCACUUCAUCUACCAGGCUUGUAAUUCUGUCAAAAAACGAGAUCAGGUUAGUCUGACAUGACUUAUUUUUCAGAAAUCCAUGCUGACUAUUGGUGAUCACAGCAUUCCUUUCUAGGUGCUCACAGACUGUUUGCUUAAAUGUGUCCCCCAUUUAUUAUGAUCUCUUUAUUUGUCUUCUUAUACAUCUUUCCCUAAUUCCUUUGAUCGUCAAAGGCUUUCUCUGCUUUGCUUAAUUAAGCGACAUGUUUCAUUAAUGUGCAGGCUGUGGAAAUCUGGAGUUCAGAUGUGAAGCAUAUUAAAUGACACAGAUUUAGCCACAGCUGAACUGGAAUGAAGUUGCAUAAGUUCUUGCUAAAAGAGGAUCCACCUCCUGCCCCUACUUCAAAGUAAACAUAAUUCCAGCAAGUUGAUGCAUGUGGAGUACAGGGUUAGGUUUAAGGUGCUGGUUUUGACCUUUAAAGCCCUAUGCCUACAGGACCGCCUCUCCUGGUAUGCCCCACGGAGGACCUUAAAGUCCACAAAUGACAUCACCUUGGAGGUGCCACGUCACAAGGUGGUUAGAUUGGUCUCAACUAGGGCCAGGGCCUUUUCAGUACUGGCCCCGACUUGGUGGAAUGCUCUGUCACAAGAGACUAGGGCCCUGCGGCACUUGACAUCUUUCCACAGGGCCUGCAAGACAGAGCUCUUCCGCCUGGCCUUUGGUUUGGACUCAGUCUGACCCUUAUGUUUCCCUCCCCUUAUGGUUUUGAUCCAUGGGAUACUAUUAAAAUGAGGCUGCAUUUAAAAUUAUAUUUUAACCUGUAUUUUAAUUUGGGUUUUUUUAUUGUAAUUUUACUGGUGUUAGCCGCCCUGAGCCUGGCUCUGGCCGGGGAGGGUGGGGUAUAAAUUAUUGUUGUUGUUGUUGUUGUUGUUGUUGUUGUUGUUUAUUACCCUACCAUAAAAGAUCUGCCAUAGAGUGAAGGGGAAUUCUAUGCCAAGCAUAACACCUCAAGAUUAGCAGUCUAAUGUGUAUCAGCUGUAGCUUAGGCACAUGAAGGUAGAAAGUAUCCCAUAGUAAGAAGCUGGAACUGUACAACAGUAGAUAUAACAUGCUUGUGGUUAGACUAGGACAAUUGUCUUCACCCUUUCCAGAUCUUUAGCCUAAAUGUCAUGCUUUUUAUCAUAUAUUUGUUUGGUAGCAAUACUGCUGUUUCAACCAAGUUGUGGGGUUCGGAUCCACCAAUUAAAGACUAACAGAUUAGAGCAAGAAUGGAAAAAUAAUAAUUACAAAUGCCUUGAUUUUCUUCUGAAUGAUUUUCUAAUGGGGUGAGUGUCAUCACAAAGUCACCCCCAUUGUUGGAUAAGCAUUUUAGGAUUACCAGUGUUUUUGCAUAGGCAAUGAAAGUUCCAAACUGUUUUAUUUAUACUUUCCAAUUUUAUACAUUUCACUAGCUUUAUACAUUUCACUAAUUUUACAGUCAUUUUGACAUUUCAAAACUUGACUUUCAUCACCCUCUUUCUGCAGUUCCUUAAAUUUGUUUUUAAUAUCUUCUGCAUAUCCAGAUUAACUUAAUUUACUCAUUUAUUCAUCUUCUUUAAAUAUAUACUCUUAUAAAACUGCAGGUUGUUACAAUAAUCCUGCCAAUGUUUUUAUCUGUUUAUAUUUUUUCCCUGUAAAUAGUCAAUAAACCAUUUCCAUUCUUCUAUAUCUAUUUAAAAUAUGAUAUCUUGAUUUCUUAUCCUUCCGGUAAGUUUUACCAUUUCUGCAUAUUCCGUAAGUUUUUGUAUCCAUCCUUCCUUUGCUGGGACUUCUGCUUCUUUCCAUUUUGGGGCAAGUAACAUUCUUGAAUAAGUUUCUAACAAAGAAAGCUAUGAACUUGCUCCCUUGAGGAGGAUCAUCUGUUAUAAAAAAGGUAACAGAAGUAGAAUAGCUCACCUCAAAAUACCUUUGUAAAAGAUGCAAGAUAGCAGGGUCAAAAAGAAUGAGAGAAAUCCUUUUCUAUGCAGUUAUCUGCACAUAGCUACAGAAAAUGUGAAGGGGGGAAAACCCUCAUACUCAAUACCGUCCUCACAGGACAACAUUAUUAGCAUAGCCUGAUGCCUGACAAAAGACCCCACUUUGUGUGAGGUUCUUAUAAGUGUAAGAGAGAGAGAAACUAAGACAAGACAUGGGCAAGAAAGCCAAGAAAACGAACCAUUUUAAUAAGAGUCACAGAUACCAUCUGGCUGCACAGAAAGGACAGUCCAGGUUUCUGUUCAGAGACAUCCUCUUGCUUAAAAUGCAGAACACAUAUAGGAUAAAGUACCGGAAAAAAAUCUUGCUUCUCCAAGGCCAACUUGACAAGUGAAUGGCAGUCUUGCAUUGCAUCUUCUGUGCCCCAGUUAAAUAUGGAAAAGUUAUUAACUAGAGUAGCAGGAUAACAUGCAAGGACAGUUGGCAAGGAUGUCCUUUAUUUUACCCGUGUAUGAUCAGUGUAUCCUGUCCUCAGCCUGCAUCGCCAUUUGCUUCAGUACUUCCCAGAGUGCAACUCAAUGACCAGAAAGGGCAGUCAUGUGAUGGACAGGCCAUGGUUUUGCCUCCUGGUUGCUACCAAUCACAAGUACACACAGAGAGAAGUUUAACCUGGAAUCCUACAAUUUAAUGGGGAUAUAGUUAAAGCUAUGGUUUUCCCAGUAGUGAUGUAUGGAAGUGAGAGCUGAACCAUAAAGAAGGCUGAUCGCCGAAGAAUUGAUGCCUUUGAAUUAUGGUGUUGGAGGAGACUCUUGAGAGUCCCAUGGACUGCAAGAAGAUCAAACCGCUCCAUUCUUAAGGAAAUCAGCCCUGAGUGCUAACUGGAAGGACAGAUCCUGAAGCUGAGGCUCCAAUACUUUGACCACCUCAUGAGAAGAGAAGACUCCUUGGAAAAGACCCUGAUGUUGGGAAAGAUGGAGGGCACAAAGAGAAGGGGACGACAGAGGACAAGAUGGUUGGACAGUGUUCUCAAAGCUACCAGCAUGAGUUUGACCAAACUGUGGGAGGCAGUGGAAGACAGGAGUGCCUGGCAUGCUCUGGGCUAUGGGGUCACGAUGAGUCGGACACGACUAAACGAUUAAACAACAACAAGGGAUUUGACUCUUGUCAAAGAGGGCCUAAUUACAGGGUGGGCUGUUGGGGUUCGAACUCUCCAGGUGGGAUUGGCUAGGCAGAGCAAGCUGGUUUGGAUUUCCUCAGGAGAAAGUACUGUAUUUUUCGCUCUAUAAGACGCACCAGACCAUAAGACGCACCUAGUUUUUGGAAGAGGAAAACAAGAAAAAAAUAUUCUGAAUCCCAGAAGCCAGGACAGCAAGCCGGAUCGUUGCACAGUGAUCCCACUGGCUGGCCUGGCUUAUGGGAUAGCCGUGCGCAGCCUCUCCCAGGAAAGGGGAGCCUUCAUCCCCUGCCCGGGAGAGGCUCCCCUAAGAGCAGCGCUCCCUUUAAAGAGCGGGCGGAGUGUGUGUGCGGCUCUUUAAAGGGAGCGCUGAGCAGAGCCUCCCACCUGCAUUCGCUCCAUAAGACGCACACACAUUUCCCCUUACUUUUUAGGAGGGGAAAAGUGUGUCUUAUAGAGCGAAAAAUACGGUAAAUGCUAUAAGGGCUGAAUGAGAGUUGCUGGUUGAACACUGAUCGUCGUUCUAGGUGGUAAAAGUCUUCUAGUCAGCCUAAGAGGUGCAAAUGAUUGUGGAAUAGGGAUAUAAAAUUUACAGCAUGCUGUGGUUUAAGAGAAAAUAAUACAAAAAUGAUAUAUCAAUGGUAUCUAACACUGAGUAAACUGGCCAAAAUGUAUAAAACUAAAUCAAAUAAGUGUUGUAUAGAGAAAGAUGGUUCUUUUUGUCAUAUGUGGUGGUCUUGCAGUAAGGUUAAGGCUUACUGGGAAAUGAUAUAUAAUAAUAAUAAUAAUAAUAAUAAUAAUAAUAAUAAUAAUAAUUUAUUAUUUGUACCCCGCCCAUCUGGCUGGGUUUCCCCAGGAAAAUGAAAGGAAUGAAAGGAAAAUGAAAAUGAAAGGAAAAGGAUAUUUAAAAUAACGUUGGUAAAAACAACAACCCAGAAGCUUUUCUUUUGGGAAUUAUAGGGACAGAACUACCUAAAUUGUAUAGAAAUUUAUUCACAUACACAACUACAGCAGCAAGAAUGUUACUUGCCCCCAAACGGAAAGAAGCAGAAAUCCCAGCAAAGAAAGAAUGGAUACAAAAACUUAUGGAAUAUGCAGAAAUGGUGAAAAUUACUGGAAGAAUAAGAAGACAACAAACUUUUUUUAAAGAAUAGAAAUGGUUUAUUGAAUAUUUACAGAUAAAUUGUAAACAGAUAAAAACACUGGCAGGAUUAUUGUAAUAACCUGCAGCUAUAUAAGAGUAUAUAAAUAAAGACGAUAAUUAAAUACACAGGUUAAUUUAAUUUGGAUAUGCAGAAGAUAUUAAAAAUAAAUUUAAGAAAGAGGGGGAAGGAAGUGAAAUUUUAAAAUUCAAAAUGAAUGUAAAAUCAGUGAAAUGUAUAUAUCUGAAAAGUAUAUAUAAAAUCUAUAAAAAAGAGUUUUCAGCAAAGCACAUCUCAAGCAUUCCUAACAGAAAUCGUUUCCUCCCUAAAAGAGGGCACAUGUUGCGGUGAGACCUGGAGACUGACCUCCUGUGUUGCGGGUGGGUUGGAUUGGUUUGCCACAACACCCGAUUGGUAGGUCCCUUGAUGUUGGGUUCAAUCUGACCAAUGGGGUGCAGUCCAAAUGGAUCAAGGGACCUAUUUAUGCCCAUGCAUGUGACCCAGAGCUUCCUCUUUCGGCUUGUGCAUUUGGAACACCCGCCCACCUCUCCCUAAUUUUCGGGCUUUGUAUGAUUGACCUUUCUGUGCCGUUGUGUGUCGUCUGUCAUUGGGACAGGGGCAUGGUAGGAAUUUCCCCACUUGGCUGAUUGGCUGUGGCCAUUUGGGUUUCGCCUGCCGUGUAGCAAAUCGUCACAACUUGUAAGGUUGCGGAUAGGCUCUGGUUUAGGUGAUAGAGAUGGGAGAACACUCUCGCCAGCCCUAUGUGAAGGGUAUUCCAUUAAAGGAAUCCAGGAACUCAAUGGUUUGGUCAAGCCCUGAGAGAGGGUUGUGCCCGUGCCUGAGUCCAGGGGGACAUUUGGGUGGCGGAGAUAGCCUGUUCCCGGCUUUCUGCUUCUCCAGGUGUUCACCCUUGGCUGACCUAUGCUGGUGCCCUGGGUCAGCGCUACCUGCAACAGUGCAGGGAACUAGUUGAACUAGAGCCUAUGCAACCACUCACCUUCUGUAAUCAAUAAAGUUGUGGCCUAAAUUCUGCCAAAAACCAAAACUAAAAUUUGAGUCAUGUGUGUAUUUAUUUAGGGGGGAGGUCUCUGGGUCUGAACACGCAAAGCCUUCUCCAAUAUACUCUUAUGAAUUGGCAAAGCUCUCUGAGGCAGCCCAGUGCAUUCAAAAGCUGCAACUUUCAUGGUGCAGGAAGGGAAAGAAGAGUAUGAAUUGGGGCCACCAUACACUAAGAGAGAAACCUAAAGACCCUCCAAAUAUCCCGAUUUUCCAGGGACAGUUCUGGAUUCACAGAAGCCAUCUUGGUUUAUUAUUUGAUCCCAGAAUGUCCCAAUUUUCCUUAGGACAUCACUAUUUUCGUCAGAGGAAUGUUGGAGGGAAUGGAGUUAUGUGACCCCCGAGCCAGGGACAUAACUAUGCAAGGUAUUUUUAAUGUUUUAUUGUGUUUUUAUAUAUGUUGGAAACUGCCCAGAUUGGCUGGGGCAACCUAGUCAGAUGGGUGGGGCAUAAAGUAUAUAUACAUAUAUAGAUAGAUAGAUGAUAGAUAGAUAGAUAUAGAUAUAGAUAUAGAUAUAGUUAUAGAUAUAGAUAUAGCUAUAGAUAUAGAUAUAGAUAUAGAUAUAGAUAUAGAUAUAGAUAUAUAGAUAUAUAGAUAUAUAUAGAUAUAUAUAUAAUAGGACGUCCCUAUUUUCGGAGGAAUGAUGGAGUUCUGGCUAAGCCAGUACACUUCUGGCUAGGUGGAAGUUCUUCUCCAGUCUAUGUUUGUAGGUAAUAGUGCCUUUCCUUCCAGAAGGCCCAUUUGCAACAUUAGUCAAUGACUCCUCUUGAAAAACAGCUGGAGUGAUGCUUCUGUAAAAUCUUUUUGCUCUGAUUUACUUCAUUUGGCACUCUGAUAAUUAUCUGGGCUCUAACUCAGGGCAAAAUCAUCACACACAGAGACAGUCCUAAUCUUUGUAUAUGUUUUCUCUAAAAGGAAACAUUUCGUAGCAGUAUGCAUCAUUUUAGAAAAGCAUUAUUCUUCCACUAAGCUGUUUAUAGGCAUUAAGUAGGAAAAACACCGUUGAUCACUUUUUUUCUUGGGUAGAUGAAGCAAAAUGUCCUUGUUAGUUAACAGGGUUUGCCUUUUGCCUGCUCUUUCUGUUUCCCUCUUCAAUACAGCUUUCUAUAAUUUUGUGUGAAGACAUAUAAAAUGUAUACCCUUGUAGCCUUAUUAGACUUUACCCAUUGGUGGGGUCUGCGUUGCUCCCGGACGGGAGGAAGGAAGUCAAAUGACACUGAGGUUGAUUCAGAGAAAGAGUUUAUUUUGCUCUCCGGAUAGCAGAAAGGCACUUGCGUGGUCAGUUCACAGCAAGUCCAAAUAAAUGAGAAAUUUCAUGCAAUAUAUAUAUCCUCCCCCCUUCAUGGAUCACUGCCUUGCCGUGGCGAAGGGGCUUGAAGAACUCAGAGAAGCUAUGAACUAUGCUGAGUAGGGCACCCAAGAUGAACAGGUCAUAGUGGAGAGUUUUGACCAAACGUGAUCCACCUGGAGGAGGAACCGGCAAGCCACUCCAGUAUCCCUGCCAAGAAAACUCCAUGGACAAAGACAACAGGCAUAUAAAAGAUGAGCCCCUCAGGUCGGAAGGUGUCCAACAUGCUACUGGGGAAGAGCGGAGGACAAGUACAAGUAGAUCUAGAGCUGAUGAAGCGGCUGGGCCAAAGCCGAAAGGACGCUCAGUUGCGGAUAUGCAUGGAAGUGAAAGGAAAGUCCAAUGCUGCAAAGAAAAAUAUUGCAUAGGAACCUGGAAUGUAAGAACCAUGAACCUGGGUAAGUUGGAUGUGGUCAAAAAUGAGAUGGCAAGAAUAAAUAUUGACAUCCUGGGCAUCAGUGAACUAAAAUGGACGGGAAUGGGCGAAUUCAGUUCGGAUGACUAUCAUAUCUACUACUGUGGGCAAGAAACCCGUAAAAGAAAUGGAGUAGCCCUCAUAGUCAACAAAAGAGUGGCGAAAGCUGUACUGGGAUGCAAUCUCAAAAAUGAUAGAAUGAUCUCGAUACGAAUCCAAGGCAGACCUUUUAACAUCACAGUAAUCCAAGUUUAUGCACCAACUACUGGUGCUGAAGAAACUGGAAUUGACCAAUUCUAUGAAGGCUUACACGACCUUAUAGAAGCGACACCAAAGAAGGAUGUUCUUCUCAUUAUAGGGGAUUGGAAUGCUAAAGUAGGGAAUCAAGAGAUAAAAGGAAUAACUGGCAAGUUUGGCCUUGGAGAUCAAAACGAAGCAGGGCAAAGGCUAAUAGAGUUCUGUCAAGAGAACAAGCUGGUCAUCACAAACACGCUUUUCCAACAACACAAGAGACGACUCUACACAUGGACAUCACCAGAUGGGCAACAUCGAAAUCAGAUUGAUUAUAUUCUCUGCAGCCAAAGAUGGAGAAGCUCUAUACAGUCAGCAAAAACAAGACCUGGAGCUGACUGUGGCUCAGAUCAUCAGCUUCUUAUAGCAAAAUUCAAGCUUAAACUGAAGAAAGUAGGAAAGAAAGUACUGGGCCGGUAAGAUACAAUCUAAACCAAAUCCCUUAUGAAUACACAGUGGAAGUGAGGAACAGGUUCAAGGAUAUAGAUUUGCUGGACCGAGUGCCUGAAGAACUAUGGGUGGAGGCUCACAAAAUUAUACAGGAGGCAGCAACGAAAACCAUCCCAAUGAAAAAGAAAUGUAAGAAAGCAAAGUGGCUGUCCAACGAGGCCUUACAAAUAGCGGGGGAGAGAAGGCAAGCAAAAUGCGAGGGAGAUAGUGAAAGAUACAGGAAAUUGAAUGCAGAUUUCCAAAGAAUAGCAAGGAGAGACAAGAAGGCCUUCUUAAACGAGCAAUGCAAAGAAAUAGAGGAAAACAACAGAAUGGGAAGAACCAGAGAUCUGUUCAAAAAAAUCGGAGAUAUGAAAGGAAUAUUUCGUACAAAGAUUACCAUAAUAAAGGACAAAAGUGGUAAGAACCUAACAGAAGCAGAAGACAUCAAGAAGAGGUGGCAAGAAUACACAGAGGAAUUAUACUAGAAAGAUAUGGAUGUCUCGUACACCCCAGGUAGUGUGGUUGCUGACCUUGAGCCAGACAUCCUGGAGAGUGAAGUCAAAUGGGCCUUAGAAAGCACUGCAAAUAACAAGGCCAGUGGAAGUGAUGGUAUUCCAGCUGAACUAUUUAAAAUUUUAAAAGAUGAUGCUCUUAAGGUGCUACACUCAAUAUGCCAGCAAGUUUGGAAAACUCAGCAGUGGCCAGAGGAUUGGAGAAGAUCAGUCUACAUCCCAAUCCCAAAGAAGGGCAGUGCCAAAGAAUGCUCCAACUACCGCACAAUUGCACUCAUUUCACACGCUAGCAAGGUUAUGCUUAAAAUUCUACAAGGAAGGCUCAAGCAGUAUGUGGACCGAGAACUCCCAGAAGUGCAAGCUGGAUUUCGAAGGGGCAGAGGAACCAGAGACCAAAUUGCAAACAUGCCCUGGAUUAUGGAGAAAGCUAGAGAGUUCCAGAAAGACAUCUACUUCUGCUUCAUUGACUAUGCAAAAGCCUUUGACUGUGUCGACCACAGCAAACUAUGGCAAGUUCUUAAAGAAAUGGGAGUGCCUGAUCACCUCAUCUGUCUCCUGAGAAAUCUCUAUGUGGGACAAGAAGCUACAGUUAGAGCUGGAUAUGGAACAACUGAUUGGUUCAAAAUUGGGAAAGGAGUACGACAAGGCUGUAUAUUGUCUCCCUGCUUAUUUAACUUAUAUGCAGAAUUCAUCAUGCGAAAGGCUGGGCUGGAUGAAUCCGAAGCCGGAAUUAAGAUUGCCGGAAGAAAUAUCAACAACCUCAGAUAUGCAGAUGACACAACCUUGAUGGCAGAAAGUGAGGAGGAAUUAAAGAAACUUUUAUUGAGGGUGAAAGAGGAGAGCGCAAAAUAUGGUCUGAAGUGCAACAUCAAAAAAAUGAAGAUCAUGGCCACCUGUCCCAUCACCUCCUGGCAAAUAGAAGGGGAAGAAAUGGAGGUAGUAAGAGAUUUUACUUUCUUGGGCUCCAGGAUCACUGCAGAUGGUGACAGCAGUUGCGAAAUUAAAAGACGCCUGCUUCUUGGGAGAAAAGCAAUGACAAACCUAGACAGCAUCUUAAAAAGCAGAGACAUCACCUUGCCAACAAAGGUCGGUAUAGUUAAAGCCAUGGUUUUCCCAGUAGUGAUGUAUGGAAGUGAGAGCUGGACCAUAAAGAAGGCUGAUCGCCGAAGAAUUGAUGCUUUUGAAUUAUGGUGCUGGAGGAGACUCUUGAGAGUCCCAUGGACUGCAAGAAGAUCAAACGUAUCCAUUCUUAAGGAAAUCAGCCCUGAGUGCUCACUGGAAGGACAGAUCGUGAAGCUGAGGCUCCAAUACUUUGGCCACCUCAUGAGAGAGAAGACUCCCUGGAAAAGACCCUGAUGUUGGGAAAGAUGGAGGGCACAAGGAGAAGGGGACGACAGAGGAUGAGAUGGUUGGAUGGUGUUGUCGAAGCUACCACCAGGAAUUUGACCAAACUGCGGGAGGCAGUGGAAGACAGAAGUGCCUGGCGUGCUCUGGUCCAUGGGGUCACAAAGAGCUGGACAUGACUAAACGACUAAACAACAACAACAUAUAUAUCCUCCAGGCACCCUCUCCCCCUCUUCCCCAGGAAUCCAACCACGUCAGCUUAUACACGUAAGUUGACAUCCAUGACCAUAAACAGAUAUUCCUGUUCCGGUACUCUUGACCAUAAAAGGUUGUUCCUGUUCCUAUACUCUUAUCUUGGUGCAGGAGGUCACCAACUCUAAGAACACUCCUGGAGCCGUUCCCGGACAAGGUCUGUGCGUCAUUGUGGUCAGGAAGUAAGAUAAGACCCAGAUGUGCCAUCCCUGCUCCACUUUGGAAAGGACAAGGCCAUCCAUUGCCGUCACGGACUGAUAAAGGACAGGGCUUUGAGCACUUGUUUAUUUCUGUUUAUACAUUGACUCAAGAGCUCAAGUUAAUGCAUUUUAGAAAUGCUCCCUUGGAGAAGGAAAAUAAGGAUUUUGGGUCCCGUUUCAGACUGACUGCACAGAAACCCAUUCCUUCCCUCUUCACCCUGUCAAUUGUCCCUGUGCCAGUCAUGGGAUUAGGAAUCUGCACAAAUAUGGGACAAUAGAUUAAAAUGUAUCUGUGAUGGAAUAUUAUAGCUGUAGAACUAUUACCCCAACCACCCCAUGUCAAUUUCCAGAUGUUUCUUAAGUGGAUCAAAUUUAGAAACACAAUAAAAAGAAAUGGGAUAUGCCUCCAUUUGACUGUUCUGUUGUUGUUUAGUCAUUUAGUCAUGUAGAACUCUUCAUGACCUCAUGGACCAGAGCAUGCCAGGCACUCCUGUCUUCCACUGCCUCCCGCAGUUUGGUCAAACUUACGUUGGUAACUUCAAGAACACUAUCCAACCAUCUCGUCCUCUGUCGUCCCCUUCUCCUUGUGCCCUCAGUCUUUCUCAGCAUCAGGUUCUUUUCCAGGGAGUCUUCUCUUCUCAUGAGGUGGCCAAAGUAUUGGAGCCUCAGCUUCAGGAUCUGUCCUUCCAGAGAGCCAAUCAUCGCAACUGCAAGUAAAUAAUGUUCUUCCAUGCUCAAGUACAGUGAAUACUAGCGUUUUUGAGAAAUGAUCUGGGGGUGGGGAAGGUUUUGAAAUCUGAUAGGUAUUCAUUGUGUUCUGAGGUCCCCAGGUGCCUGUAGCAGCUGUUAUAGUCAGAUCAACGAGCUACAAUAAGUCCCCUUCGAGCACUUUCAACGCAACCAUUUACCACCUCUGCUCACCCACUCAUCUUCCAACUGCACACCCUGGCUUCUUGAAACAAUAGACAUGAACAAGAAAGUCAUAACAAAGGGAAGUUAUAGUAAUUUCCUUGUUUCCCUUGUCACAGCUAGGGAGAGGAGAGUUAAUCAUUGCAUAACCUCUGCUGGAAUCUCUGUUGUGCAGCAAUUAGGCAUGAAAACAGUCUCCCAUCGCUGCCAAGGGGAGGCUUUUUUCAAACCUAAUUAGUCCAUGGGGGGACAUUUGAGGCGGGAAGCAACUGGAUUGCUUAGGGAUUUUUUCAAAAAAAUAUUUCCCGCCGGUUAAGUUGCUGAGGGCUGAUUUCUUGUCCUGUGAUAAAAAGCCUUCUGUUUCCAUCGCCAAAGCUUUCAGGGGAGCAUUUGCAACCGGUCGGAACAAUUUUGAGUGAAUUGUCAAAAGUCAGAUUUUUGCUGAAAUUGUGACCCCGGGGCUUAGGGGUUUUUUCAAAAAAAUCUUUUUCUGCUGGUUAAGUUGUCGAGGGCUGAUUUCUUGUCCUGUGAUAAAAAGCCUUCUGUUUCCAUCGCAAAAGCAUUCAGGGGAGCAUUUGCAACCGCUUGGCACCAUUUUUGAAUGAAUUGUCAAAAGUCAGAUUUUUGCUGAAAUUGUGACCCCAGGGCUUAGAGAUUUUUUCUAAAAAAUCUUUCCACCGGGUUAAGUUGUUGAGGGCUGAUUUCUUGUCCUGUGAUAAAUGCCUUCUGUUUCGAAGGCCAAACCUUUCAGGGGAGCAUUAGCAACCGGUUGGCACCAUUUUUGAGUGAAUUGCCAAAAGUCAGAUUUUUGCUGAAAUUGUGACCCCGGGGCUUAGCGAUUUUUUCAAAAAAAACAUUUUCCGCCCGUUUAGUAGUUGAGGGCUGAUUUCUUGUCCUGUGAUAAAAAGUCUUCUGUUUCUACUGCCAAACCUUUCAGGGGAGCAUUAGCAACCGGUUGGCACCAUUUUUGAGUGAAUCGCCAAAAGUCAGAUUUUUGAUGAAAUUGUGACCCCGGGCAUAGCGAAUUUUUCAAUAAAAUCUUUUCCGCCGGUUAAGUUGUUGAGGGCCGAUUUCUUGUCCUGUGAUAAAAAGCCUUCUGUUUUGAACGCCAAACCUUUCAGGGGAGCAUUAGCAACCGGUUGGCACCAUUUUUGACUGAAUUGCCAAAAGUCAGAUUUUUGCUGAAAUUGUGACCCCAGGACUUAGGGAUUUUUCCAAAAAAUCUUUUCCACCUGUUAAGUUGUUGAGGGCCGAUUUCCUGUCCUGCGAUCAAAAGUCUUCUGUUUUCAACACGAAACCUUUCAGGGGAGCAUUUUCAAACGUUUGGCACCUUUUUUGACUGAAUUGCCAAAAGUCAGAUUUUUGCUGAAAUUGUGACCCCGGGGCUUAGGGAUUUUUUCAAAAAAAUCUUUUCCGCCGGUUAAGUUGUUGAGGGCUGAUUUCUUGUCCUGUGAUAAAAAGCCUUCUGUUUCAACUGCCAAACCUUUCAGGGGAGCAUUUGCAACCAGUUGGCACCAUUUUUGAGUGAAUCGCCAAAAGUCAGAUUUUUGCUGAAAUUGUGACCCCAGGACUUAGGGAUUUUUUCAAAAAAAUCAUUUUCUGCCGGUUAAGUUGUUGAGGGCUGAUUUCUUGUCCUGUGAUAAAAAGUCUUCUGUUUCGACUGCCAAACCUUUCAGGGGAGCAUUAGCAACCGGUUGGCACCAUUUUUGAGUGAAUUGCCAAAAGUCAGAUUUUUGCUGAAAUUAUGACCCCGGGGCUUAGGGAUUUUUUCAAAAAAAUCUUUUCCGCCGGUUAAGUUGUUGAGGGCUGAUUUCUUGUCCUGUGAUAAAAAGCCUUCUGUUUCAAGUGCCAAACCUUUCAGGGGAGCAUUUGCAACCAGUUGGCACCAUUUUUGAGUGAAUCGCCAAAAGUCAGAUUUUUGCUGAAAUUGUGACCCCAGGACUUAGCGAUUUUUUCAAAAAAAUCAUUUUCUGCCGGUUAAGUUGUUGAGGGCUGAUUUCUUGUCCUGUGAUAAAAAGUCUUCUGUUUCGACUGCCAAACCUUUCAGGGGAGCAUUAGCAACCGGUUGGCACCAUUUUUGACUGAAUUGCCAAAAGUCAGAUGUUUGCUGAAACUGUCACCCCCGGGGCUUAGCGAUUUUUUCAAAAAAAUCUUUUUCCGCCGUUUAAGUUGUUGAGGGUUGAUUUCUUGUCCUGUGAUAAAAAGCCUUCUGUUUCGACUGCCAAACCUUUCAGGGGAGCAUUAGCAACCGGUUGGCACCAUUUUUGAGUGAAUUGCCAAAAGUCAGAUUUUUGCUGAAAUUGUCACCCCGGGGCUUAGCGAUUUUUUCAAAAAAAACAUUUUCCGCCGGUUAAGUAGUUGAGGGCUGAUUUCUUGUUCUGUGAUAAAAAGUCUUCUGUUUCGACUGCCAAACCUUUCAGGGGAACAUUAGCAACCGGUUGGCACCAUUUUUGAGUGAAUUGCCAAAAGUCAGAUUUUUUUUUUUUUUAAGAAUAUUUAUUCAAGUUUUAAGAUUACAAAAAAAAAGAAAAAACAAAACAAGAAAACCAGUGACAUACAUCUUACAAAAGAUACACACCAUACAAGGAAAAAAAGAAAAAAGAAAAAAUACACAAGACCAAAAAUCACAAUAAAAAAUAACAAAAAAAAGAAUUCAAAUUUAACAAACCGUAUUCCCAUUUACUUAUUUCCGUGACUUCCUCACACUUCUCUGCUUUGUAUUCUAAUUCAAAUUGUAUCUCCAGCAAAUCCUUCUAACCUUCUUUCCAUUCACUUAUUUUAACAUUUUAACAUUCAAAAAUAUUUAAUUCUCCUCUAUCCUUUAAUUUACACUUCAUAUUUACUUAAUUCCAUUAUACUCUGUCUGCCAAUACGGUCUAAUAUUUCUUCUCCAACCUUUCCUAACAUUCUUUUAUGUUACAGUGAUUCUGUAGAUAUAUUUUAAACUUUUUCCAAUCUUCUUCCAUAAACCCUUUUUCUUGAUCUCGAAUUCUUCCAGUCAUCUCAGCCAGUUCCAUAUAGUCUAUCACUAUUCUCUGCCAUUCUUCUCGGGUAGGCAAUUCUUGUGUCUUCCAAUAUUUCCCAAUGAGUAUUCUUGCUGCUGCUGUCGCAUACAUAAAAAAAGUUCUAUCUUCCCUUCGCACCAAUUGGCCAACCAUGCCCAAGAGGAAGGCCUCUGGUUUGUUUAAGAAAGUAUAUUUCAAUACCUUUUUUAAUUCAUUGUAUAUCAUUUCCCAGAAUGCCUUGAUCGCCAAAAGUCAGAUUUUUGCUGAAAUUGUGACCCCGGGGCUUAGCGAUUUUUUCAAAAAAAAUCAUCUUCCGCCGUUUAAGUUGUUGAGGGUUGAUUUCUUGUCCUGUGAUAAAAAGUCUUCUGUUUCGACUGCCAAACCUUUCAGGGGAGCAUUAGCAACCGGUUGGCACCAUUUUUGAGUGAAUGCCAAAAGUCAGAUGUUUGCUGAAAUUGUGACCCCGGGGCUUAGCGAUUUUUUCAAAAAAAUAUUUUCCGCCGGUUAAGUUGUUGAGGGCCGAUUUCCUGUCCUGUGAUAAAAAGCCUACUGUUUUGAACGCCAAACCUUUCAGGGGAGCGUUAGCAACCGGUUGGCACCAUUUUUGAGUGAAUCGCCAAAAGUCAGAUUUUUGCUGAAAUUGUGACGCCGGGGCUUAGCGAUUUUUUCAAAAAAAAUCAUUUUCCGCCGUUUAAGUUGUUGAGGGCUGAUUUCUUGUCCUGUGAUAAAACGUCUUCUGUUUCGACUGCCAAACCUUUCAGGGGAGCAUUAGCAACCGGUUCGCACCAUUUAUGAGUGAAUUGCCAAAAGUCAGAUUUUUGCUGAAAUUGUCACCCCGGGGCUUAGCGAUUUUUUCAAAAAAAACAUUUUCCGCCGGUUAAGUUGUUGAGGGCUGAUUUCUUGUCCUGUGAUAAAAAGUCUUCUGUUUCGACUGCCAAACCUUUCAGGGGAGCAUUAGCAACCGGUUGGCACCAUUCUUGAGUGAAUUGCCAAAAGUCAGACUUUGGCUGAAAUUGUCACCCCGGGGCUUAGCGAUUUUUUCAAAAAAAACAUAUUCCGCCGUUUAAGUUGUUGAGGGUUGAUUUCUUGUCCUGUGAUAAAAAGUCUUCUGUUUCGACUGCCAAACCUUUCAGGGGAGCAUUAGCAACCGGUUGGCACCAUUUUUGACUGAAUUGCCAAAAGUCAGAUGUUUGCUGAAAUUGUGACCCGGGGCUUAGGGAUUUUUUCAAAAAAAUCUUUUCCGCCGGUUAAGUUGUUGCGGGCUGAUUUCUUGUCCUGUGAUAAAAAGCCUUCUGUUUCAAGUGCCAAACCUUUCAGGGGAGCAUUUGCAACCAGUUGGCACCAUUUUUGACUGAAUUGCCAAAAGUCAGAUGUUUGCUGAAAUUGUGACCCCAGGACUUAGGGAUUUUUUCAAAAAAAUCAUUUUCUGCCGGUUAAGUUGUUGAGGGCUGAUUUCUUGUCCUGUGAUAAAAAGUCUUCUGUUUCGACUGCCAAACCUUUCAGGGGAGCAUUAGCAACCGGUUGGCACCAUUUUUGAGUGAAUUGCCAAAAGUCAGAUUUUUGCUGAAAUUGUGAGCCCGGGGCUUAGGGAUUUUUUUAAAAAAAUCUUUUCCGCCGGUUAAGUUGUUGAGGGCUGAUUUCUUGUCCUGUGAUAAAAAGCCUUCUGUUCCAACUGCCAAACCUUUCAGGGGAGCAUUAGCAACCGGUUGGCACCAUUUUGACUGAAUUGCCAAAAGUCAGAUGUUUGCUGAAAUUGUGACCCGGGGCUUAGCGAUUUUUUCAAAAAAUCUUUUCCGCCGGUUAAGUUGUUGAGGGCUGAUUUCUUGUCCUGUGAUAAAAAGCCUUCUGUUUCGACUGCCAAACCUUUCAGGGAGCAUUAGCAACCGGUUGGCACCAUUCUUGAGUGAAUUGCCAAAAGUCAGAUUUUUGCUGAAAUUGUGACCCCAGGACUUAGGGAUUUUUUCAAAAAAAUCUUUUCCACCGGUUAAGUUGUUGAGGGCCGAUUUCCUGUCCUGCGAUCAAAAGUCUUCUGUUUUCAACACGAAACCUUUCAGGGGAGCAUUUUCAAACGUUUGGCACCAUUUUUGACUGAAUUGCCAAAAGUCAGAUUUUUGCUGAAAUUGUGACCCCGGGGCUUAGGGAUUUUUUCAAAAAAAUCUUUUCCGCCGGUUAAGUUGUUGAGGGCUGAUUUCUUGUCCUGUGAUAAAAAGCCUUCUGUUUCAACUGCCAAACCUUUCAGGGAGCAUUUGCAACCAGUUGGCACCAUUUUUGAGUGAAUCGCCAAAAGUCAGAUUUUUGCUGAAAUUGUGACCCCAGGGCUUAGGGAUUUUUUCAAAAAAUCAUUUUCCGCCGGUUAAGUUGUUGAGGGCUGAUUUCUUGUCCUGUGAUAAAAGUCUUCUGUUUCGACUGCCAAACCUUUCAGGGGAGCAUUAGCAACCGGUUGGCACCAUUUUUGAGUGAAUUGCCAAAAGUCAGAUUUUUGCUGAAAUUGUGAACCCGGGGCUUAGCGAUUUUUUCAAAAAAAAUCAUUUUCCGCCGUUUAAGUUGUUGAGGGUUGAUUUCUUGUCCUGUGAUAAAAAGUCUUCUGUUUCGACUCCCAAACCUUUCAGGGGAGCAUUUGCACCCGGUUGGCACAAUUUUUGCGUGAAUCGCAAAAAGUCAGAUUUUGGCUGAAUUUUUCACCCCGGGCCUUAGGGAUUUUUUCAAAAAAAUCAUUUUCCGCCGUUUAAGUUGUUGAGGGUUGAUUUCUUGUCCUGUGAUAAAAGUCUUCUGUUUCGACUGCCAAACCUUUCAGGGGAGCAUUAGCAACCGGUUGGCACCAUUUUUGACUGAAUCGACAAAAAUCAGAUUUUUGCUGAAAUUGUGACCCCAGGACUUAGGGAUUUUUUAAAAAAAUCUUUUCUGCCGGUUAAGUUGUUGAGGGCUGAUUUCUUGUCCUGUGAUAAAAAGUCUUCUGUUUCGACUGCCAAACCUUUCAGGGGAGCAUUAGCAACCGGUUGGCACCAUUUUUGAGUGAAUCGCCAAAAGUCAGAUUUUUGCUGAAAUUGCUACCCCGGGGCUUAGGGAUUUUUUCAAAAAAAUAUUUUCCGCCGGUUAAGUUGUUGAGGGCCGAUUUCCUGUCCUGCGAUAAAAAGUCUUCUGUUUUCAACACGAAACCUUUCAGGGGAGCAUUUUCAAACGUUUGGCACCAUUUUUGACUGAAUUGCCAAAAGUCAGAUUUUUGCUGAAAUUGUGACCCCGGGGCUUAGGGAUUUUUGCAAAAAAUAGUUUACUCCGGUUAAUUUGUUGAUGGCUUUUUUCUUGUCAUGUUAUAAAAGCCUUCUGUUUCGAAUGCCAAACCUUUCAGGGGAGCAUUAGCAACCGGUUGGCACCAUUUUUGACUGAAUUGCCAAAAGUCAGAUGUUUGCUGAAAUUGUGACCCGGGGCUUAGCGAUUUUUUCAAAAAAAUAUUUUCCGCCGGUUAAGUUGUUGAGGGCCGAUUUCCUGUCCUGUGAUAAAAAGCCUUCUGUUUUGAACGCCAAACCUUUCAGGGGAGCAUUAGCAACCGGUUGGCACCAUUUUUGAGUGAAUCGCCAAAAGUCAGAUUUUUGCUGAAAUUGUGACCCCGGGGCUUAGCGAUUUUUUCAAAAAAAUCUUUUUCCGCCGGUUAAGUUGUUGAGGGCUGAUUUCUUGUCCUGUGAUAAAAAGUCUUCUGUUUCGACUGCCAAACCUUUCAGGGGAGCAUUAGCAACCGGUUGGCACCAUUUUUGAGUGAAUCGCCAAAAGUCAGAUUUUUGCUGAAAUUGUGACCCCAGGACUUAGGGAUUUUUUUCAAAAAAAUAUUUUCCGCCGGUUAAGUUGUUGAGGGCCGAUUUCCUGUCCUGCGAUAAAAAGCCUUCUGUUUUCAACACGAAACCUUUCAGGGGAGCAUUUUCAAACGUUUGGCACCAUUUUUGACUGAAUUGCCAAAAGUCAGAUUUUUGCUGAAAUUGUGACCCCGGGGCAUAGGGAUUUUUUAAAAAAAAUAUUUUCCGCCGGUUAAGUUGUUGAGGGCUGAUUUCUUGUCCUGUGAUAAAAAGCCUUCUGUUUCGACUGCCAAACCUUUCAGGGGAGCAUUAGCAACCGGUUGGCACCAUUUUUGACUGAAUUGCCAAAAGUCAGAUUUUUGCUGAAAUUGUGACCCCAGGGCUUAGCGAUUUUUUCAAAAAAAAAUUUUCCGCCGGUUAAGUUGUUGAGGGCUGAUUUCUUGUCCUGUGAUAAAAGUCUUCUGUUUCGACUGCCAAACCUUUCAGGGGAGCAUUAGCAACCGGUUGGCACCAUUUUUGACUGAAUUGCCAAAAGUCAGAUUUUUGCUGAAAUUGUGACCCCAGGACUUAGGGAUUUUUUCAAAAAAAUCUUUUCUGCCGGUUAAGUUGUUGAGGGCCGAUUUCCUGUCCUGUGAUAAAAAGAGUUCUGUUUUGAACGCCAAACCUUUCAGGGGAGCAUUAGCAACCGGUUGGCACCAUUUUUGAGUGAAUCGCCAAAAGUCAGAUUUUUGCUGAAAUUGUGACCCCGGGGCUUAGGGAUUUUUUCAAAAAAAUCUUUUUCCGCCGGUUAAGUUGUUGAGGGCCGAUUUCUUGUCCUGUGAUAAAAAGCCUUCUGUUUUGAACGCCAAACCUUUCAGGGGAGCAUUAGCAACCGGUUGGCACCAUUUUUGACUGAAUCGCCAAAAGUCAGAUUUUUGCUGAAAUUGUGACCCCGGGGCUUAGGGAUUUUUUCAAAAAAAUCUUUUCCGCCCGUUAAGUUGUUGAGGGCCGAUUUCCUGUCCUGCGAUAAAAAGCCUUCUGUUUUCAACACGAAACCUUUCAGGGGAGCAUUUUCAAACGUUUGGCACCAUUUUUGACUGAAUUGCCAAAAGUCAGAUGUUUGCUGAAAUUGUGACCCCGGGGCUUAGCGAUUUUUUCAAAAAAAUAUUUUCCGCCGGUUAAGUUGUUGAGGGCCGAUUUCCUGUCCUGUGAUAAAAAGCCUUCUGUUUUGAACGCCAAACCUUUCAGGGGAGCAUUAGCAACCGGUUGGCACCAUUUUUGAGUGAAUCGCCAAAAGUCAGAUUUUUGCUGAAAUUGUGUACCCGGGGCUUAGCGAUUUUUUCAAAAAAAUCAUUUUCCGCCGUUUAAGUUGUUGAGGGUUGAUUUCUUGUCCUGUGAUAAAAAGUCUUCUGUUUCGACUGCCAAACCUUUCAGGGGAGCAUUAGCAACCGGUUGGCACCAUUUUUGAGUGAAUCGCCAAAAGUCAGAUUUUUGCUGAAAUUGUGACCCCAGGGCUUAGCGAUUUUUUCAAAAAAAAACAUGUUCCGCCGGUUAAGUUGUUGAGGGUUGAUUUCUUGUCCUGUGAUAAAAAGUCUUCUGUUUCGACUGCCAAACCUUUCAGGGGAGCAUUAGCAACCGGUUGGCACCAUUUUUGAGUGAAUUGCCAAAAGUCAGAUUUUUGCUGAAAUUGUGACCCCGGGGCUUAGCGAUUUUUUCAAAAAAAUAUUUUCCGCCGGUUAAGUUGUUGAGGGCCGAUUUCCUGUCCUGUGAUAAUAAGCCUUCUGUUUUGAACGCCAAACCUUUCAGGGGAGCAUUAGCAACCGGUUGGCACCAUUUUUGAGUGAAUCUCCAAAAGUCAUUUUUUUGCUGAAAUUGCUUCCCCGGGGCUUUUGGUAUUUUUCAAAAAAAUAUUUUCCGCCGGUUAAGUUGUUGAGGGCCGAUUUCCUGUCCUGCGAUAAAAAGCCUUCUGUUUUCAACACGAUACCUUUCAGGGGAGCAUUUUCAAACGUUUGGCACCAUUUUUGACUGAAUUGCCAAAAGUCAGAUGUUUGCUGAAAUUGUGACCCCGGGGCUUAGGGAUUUUUUCAAAAAAAUCUUUUCCGCCGGUUAAGUUGUUGAGGGCUGAUUUCUUGUCCUGUGAUAAAAAGCCUUCUGUUUCGACUGCCAAACCUUUCAGGGGAGCAUUAGCAACCGGUUGGCACCAUUUUUGACUGAAUUGCCAAAAGUCAGAUGUUUGCUGAAAUUGUGACCCCGGGGCUUAGCGAUUUUUUCAAAAAANNNNNNNNNNNNNNNNNNNNNNNNNNNNNNNNNNNNNNNNNNNNNNNNNNNNNNNNNNNNNNNNNNNNNNNNNNNNNNNNNNNNNNNNNNNNNNNNNNNNNNNNNNNNNNNNNNNNNNNNNNNNNNNNNNNNNNNNNNNNNNNNNNNNNNNNNNNNNNNNNNNNNNNNNNNNNNNNNNNNNNNNNNNNNNNNNNNNNNNNCGGUUGGCACCAUUUAUGACUGCACUUGCCAAAAGUCAGAUUUUUGCUGAAAUUGUGACUCGGGAGCUUAGCGAUUUUUUCAAAAAAUCUUUUUCCUCCGGUUAGUUGUUGAGGGCCGAUUUCUUGUCCUGUGAUAAAAGCCUUCUGUUUUGACUGCCAAACAUUUCAGGGGAGUAUUUUCAAGCUGCUGGCACCAUUUUUUGAGUAAAUUGCCAAAGUCAGAUUUUUGCUGAAAUUAUGACCCUGGGGCUUAGGGAUUUUUUCAAAAAAUCUUUUUCCGCUCGGUUAGGUUGUUGAGGGCUGAUUUCUUGUCCUGUGAUAAAAAGCCUUCUGUUUCGACUGCCAAACCUUUCAGGGGAGCAUUGCAAACCGGUUGGCACCAUUUUUGACUGAAUCGACGAAAGUCAGUUUUUUGUUGAAAUUGUGACCCCGGGGCUUAGCGAUUUUUUCAAAAACAUCAUUUUCCGCCGUUUAAGUUCUUGAGGGCUGAUUUCUUGUCCUGUGAUAAAAAGUUUUCUGUUUCGACUGCCAAACCUUUCAGGGGAGCAUUCGCAGACCGGUUGGCACCAUUUUUGACUGAAUUGCCAGGAAGUCAGAUUUUUGCUGAAAUUGUGACCCUGGGGAUUAGGAUUUUUUCAAAAUAUCUUUUUCCGCCGGUUAAGUUGUUGAGGGCUGAUUUCUUGUCCUGUGAUAAAAAGCCUUCUGUUUCGACUGCCAAACCUUUCAGGGGAGCAUUAGCAACCGGUUGGCACCAUUUUUUACUGAAUCACCAAAAGUCAGAUUUUUGCUGAAAUUUGUGACCCCGGGUUUAGCGAUUUUUUCAAAAAAAAUCUUUUCCGCCGGUUAAGUUGUUGAGGGCCGAUUUUUUGUCCUUUGAUAAAAAGCCUUCUGUUUCGACUGCCAAACGUUUCAGGGGAGCAUUAGCAACCGGUUGGCACCAUUUUUGACUGAAUUGCCAAAAGUCAGAUUUUUGCUGAAAUUAGACCCUGGGGCUUAGCGAUUUUUUCAAAAAAAAUCUUUUCCGCCGGUUAAGUUGUUGAGGGCUGAUUUCUUGUCCUGUGAUAAAAAGCCUUCUGUUUCAACUGCCAAACCUUUCAGGGGAGCAUUUUCAAGCGUUUGACACCAUUUUUGACUGAAUUGCCAAAAGUCAGAUUUUUCCUGAAAUUGUGACCCUUGGGCUUAGAGAUUUUUUCAAAAAAAUCUUUUCCGCCGGUUAAGUUGUUGAGGGCCGAUUUCCUGUCCUGUUAUAAAAAGCCUUCUGUUUCGACUGCCAAACCUUUCAGGGGAUCAUUAGCAACCGGUUGGCAACAUUUUUGACUGAAUUACAAAAAGUCAGAUUUUUGCUGAAAUUGUGACCCCGGGGCUUAGCGAUUUUUUCAAAAAAAUCUUUUAGGCCGGUUAAGUUGUUGAGGGCCUUUUUCUUGUCCUGUGAUAAAAAGCCUUCUGUUUUGACUGCCAAACCUUUCAGGGGAGCACUAGCAACCGGUUGGCACCAUUUUUGACUGAAUUGCCAAAAGUCAGAUUUUUGCUGAAAUUGUGACCCCGGGGCUUAGGGAUUUUUUUCAAAAAAAAUCUUUCCGCCGGUUAAGUUGUUGAGGGCCGAUUUCUUGUCCUGUGAUAAAAAGCCUUCUGUUUUGAACGCCAAACCUUUCAGGGGAGCAUUAGCAACCGGUUGGCACCAUUUUUGACUCAAUUGCCAAAAGUCAGAUUUUUGCUGUAAUUGUGACCCGGGGAUUAGGGAUUUUUCAAAAUAUCUUUUUCCGCCCGUUAAGUUGUUGAGGGCUGAUUUCUUGUCCCUGUGAUAAAAGCCUUCUGUUUCGACUGCCAAACCUUUCAGGGGAGCAUUAGCAACCGGUUGGCACCGUUUUUGACUGAUUGCCAAAAGUCAGAUUUUUGCUGAAAUUGUGACCCCGGGCUUAGCGAUUUUUCUAAAAAAUCUUUUCCGCCGGUUAAGUUGUUGAGGGCUGAUUUUUGUCCGGUGAUAAAAGCCUCUGUUUUGAACCCCAAACCUUUCAGGGGAGCAUUUUCAAGCGUUUGGCACCAUUUUUGACAGAAUUGCCAAAAGUCAGAUUUUUGAUGAAAUUGUGACCCUGGGACUUAGGGAUUUUUCAAAAAUCUUUUCCGCCGGUUAAGUUGUUGAGGGCCGAUUUCUUGUCCUGUGAUAAAAGCCUUCUGUUUCAACUGCCAAAUCUUUCAGGGAGCAUUUUCAAGCGUUUGGCACCAUUUUUGACUGAAUUGCCAAAAGUCAGAUUUUUGCUGAAAUUGUGACCCGGGGCUUAGGGAUUUUUUCAAAAAAUCUUUUCCGCCGGUUAAGUUGUUGAGGGCUGAUUUCUAGUCCUGUGAUAAAAGCCUUCUGUUUUGACUGCCAAACCUUUUAGGGAGCAUUAGAAACCGGUUGGCACCAUUUUUGAGUAAAUUGCCAAAAGUCAGAUUUUUGCUGAAAUUAUGACCCCGGGCUGAGCGAUUUUUCCAAAAAAUCUUUUCCGCCGCUUAAGUUGUUGAGGGCCGAUUUCUUGUCCUGUGAUAAAAGCCUUCUGUUUCGACUGCCAAACCUUUCAGGGAGCAUUAGCAACCGGUUGGCACCAUUUUUGAGUGAAUCGCCAAAAGUCAGAUUUUUGCUGAAAUUGUGACACCGGCGCUUAGGGAUUUUUUCAAAAUAAUCUUUUCGCUCGGUUAAGUUGUUGAGGCCGAUUUCUUGUCCUGUGAUAAAAAGCCGUCUGUUUUGAACGCCAAACUUUUCAGGGGAGCAUUAGCAACCGGUUGGCACCAUUUUUGACUAAAUUGCCAAAAGUCAGAUUUUUGCUGAAAUUGUGACCCAGGGGCUUAGGGAUUUUUUCAAAAAAUCUCUUCCCCAGGUUAAGUUGUUGAGGGCCGAUUUCUUGUCCUGUGAUAAAAAGCCUUCUGUUUCGACUGCCAAACCUUUCAGGGGAGCAUUAGCAUCCGGUUGGCACCAUUUUUGAGUAAAUUGCCAAAGUCAGAUUUUUGCUGAAAUUGUGACGCUCGGGCUUAGGGAUUUUUUCAAAAAUCUUUUCCGUCGGUUAAGUUGUUGAGGGCUGGUUUCUUGUCCGGUGAUAAAAAGCCUUCUGUUUUGACUGCCAAACCUUUCAGGGGGGCAUUAGAAACCGGUUGGCACCAUUUUUGAGUAAAUUGCCAAAAGUCAGACUUUUGCUGAAAUUGUGGACCCUGGGGCUUAGGGAUUUUUCAAAAAAAUCUUUUCCGUCGGUUAAGUUGUUGAGGGCUGAUUUCUUGUCCGGUGAUACAAAGCCUUCUGUUUCGAACGCCAAACCUUUCAGGGCAGCAUUAGCAACCGUUUGGCACCAUUUUUGACUGAAUUGCCAAAAGUCAGAUUUUUGCUGAAAUUGUCACCCCGGGGCUUAGGGAUUUUUCCAAAAAAAUCUUUUCCGCCAGUUUAGUUGUUGAGGGGCGAUUUCUUGUACUGUGACAAAAAGCCUUCUGUUUUGAACGCCAAACCUUUCAGGGGAGCAUUAGCAACCGGUUGGAACCAUUUUGGACUGAAUUGCCAAAAGUCAGAUUUUUGUUGAAAUUGUGACCCCGGGGCUUAGCGAUUUUUCAAAAAUCUUUUUCCGCCGGUUAAGUUGUUGAGGGCUGAUUUCUUGUCCGGUGAUAGAAAGCCUUCUGUUUUGACUGCCAAACCUUUCAGGGGAGCAUUUUCAAGCGUUUGGCACCAUUUUUGAGUAAAUUGCCAAAAGUCAGAUUUUUGCUGAAAUUGUCACCCGGGGCUUAGGGAUUUUUUCAAAAAAUCUUUUCCGCCGGUUAAGUUGUUGAGGGCCGAUUUCUUGUCCUGUGAUAAAAGCCUUCUGUUUCGACUGCCAAACCUUUCAGGGAGCAUUAGCAACCGGUUGGCACCAUUUUGGAGUGAAUCGCCAAAAGUCAGAUUUUUGCUGAAAUUGUGACACCGGGCGCUUAGGGAUUUUUCAAAUAAUCUCUUCCGCUGGUUAAGUUGUUGAGGGCCGAUUUCUUGUCCUGUGAUAAAAAGCCGUCUGUUUUGAACGCCAAACCUUUCAGGGGAGCAUUAGCAACCGGUUGGCACCAUUUUUGACUGAAUUGCCAAAAGUCAGAUUUUUGCUGAAAUUGUGACCCGGGAUUAGGGAUUUUUCAAAAUAUCUUUUUCCGCCCGUAAGUUGUUGAGGGCUGAUUUCUUGUCCUGUGAUAAAAAGCCUUCUGUUUCGACUGCCAAACCUUUCAGAGGAGCAUUAGCAACCGGUUGGCACCAUUUUUGACUGAAUUGCCAAAAGUCAGAUUUUUGCUGAAAUUGUGACCCGGGCUUAACGAUUUUUUCAAAAAAUCUUUUCCGCCGGUUAAGUUGUUGAGGGCUGAUUUUUUGUCCGGUGAUAAAAAGCCUUCUGUUUUGAACCCCAAACCUUUCAGGGGAGCAUUAUCAAGCGUUUGGCACCAUUUUUGACAGAAUUGCCAAAAGUCAGAUUUUUGCUGAAAUUGUGACCCCGGGGCUUAGGGAUUUUUUCAAAAAAAUCUUUUCCGCCGGUUAAGUUGUUGAGGGCCGAUUUCUUGUCCUGUGAUAAAAAGCCUUCUGUUUCAACUGCCAAAUCUUUCAGGGGAGCAUUUUCAAGCGUUUGGCACCAUUUUUGACUGAAUUGCCAAAAGUCAGAUUUUUGCUGAAAUUGUGACCCCGGGGCUUAGGGAUUUUUUCAAAAAAUCUUUUCCGCUAGUUAAGUUGUUGAGGGCUGAUUUCUAGUCCUGUGAUAAAAAGCCUUCUGUUUUGACUGCCAAACCUUUUAGGGGAGCAUUAGAAACCGGUUGGCACCAUUUUUGAGUAAAUUGCCAAAAGUCAGAUUUUUGCUGAAAUUGUGACCCCGGGGCUUAGCGAUUUUUUCAAAAAAAUCUUUUCCGCCGCUUAAGUUGUUGAGGGCCGAUUUCUUGUCCUGUGAUAAAAAGCCUUCUGUUUCGACUGCCAAACCUUUCAGGGGAGCAUUAGCAACCGGUUGGCACCAUUUUUGAGUGAAUCGCCAAAAGUCAGAUUUUUGCUGAAAUUGUGACACCGGCGCUUAGGGAUUUUUUCAAAAUAAUCUUUUCCGCCGGUUAAGUUGUUGAGGGCCGAUUUCUUGUCCCGUGAUAAAAAGCCGCUCUGUUUUGAACGCCAAACUUUUCAGGGAGCAUUAGCAACCGGUUGGCACCAUUUUUGACUGAAUUGCCAAAAGUCAGAUUUUUGCUGAAAUUGUGACCCGGGGCUUAGGGAUUUUUUCAAAAAAUCUCUUCCCGGUUAAGUUGUUGAGGGCCGAUUUCUUGUCCGGUGAUAAAAAGCCUUCUGUUUCGACUGCCAAACCUUUCAGGGGAGCAUUAGCAUCCGGUUGGCACCAUUUUUGAGUAAAUUGCCAAAAGUCAGAUUUUUGCUGAAAUUGUGACGCCGGGGCUUAGGGAUUUUUUCAAAAAAUCUUUUUCCGCCGGUUAAGUUGUUGAGGGCUGGUUUCUUGUCCGGUGAUAAAAGCCUUCUGUUUUGACUGCCAAACCUUUCAGGGGGCAUUAGAAACCGGUUGGCACCAUUUUUGAGUAAAUUGCCAAAAGUCAGACUUUUGCUGAAAUUGUGACCCUGGGGCUUAGGGAUUUUUUCAAAAAAAUCUUUUUCCGCCGGUUAAGUUGUUGAGGGCUGAUUUCUUGUCCGGUGAUAAAAAGCCUUCUGUUUCGAACGCCAAACCUUUCAGGGCAGCAUUAGCAACCGGUUGGCACCAUUUUUGACUGAAUUGCCAAAAGUCAGAUUUUUGCUGAAAUUGUGACCCCGGGGCUUAGGGAUUUUUCCAAAAAAAUCUUUUCCGCCAGUUUAGUUGUUGAGGGGCGAUUUCUUGUACUGUGAGAAAAGGCCAUCGCUUUUGAACGCCAAACCUUUCAGGGGAGCAUUAGCAACCGGUUGGAACCAUUUUGGACUGAAUUGCCAAAAGUCAGAUUUUUGUUGAAAUUGUGACCCCGGGGCUUAGCGAUUUUUUCAAAAAAAUCUUUUUCCGCCGGUUAAGUUGUUGAGGGCUGAUUUCUUGUCCGGUGAUAGAAAGCCUUCUGUUUUGACUGCCAAACCUUUCAGGGGAGCAUUUUCAAGCGUUUGGCACCAUUUUUGAGUAAAUUGCCAAAAGUCAGAUAUUUGGUGAAAUUGUCACCCGGGGCUUAGGGAUUUUUUCAAAAAAUCUUUUCCGCCGGUUAAGUUGUUGAGGGCCGAUUUCUUGUCCUGUGAUAAAAAGCCUUCUGUUUCGACUGCCAAACCUUUCAGGGGAGCAUUAGCAACCGGUUGGCACCAUUUUUGAGUGAAUCGCCAAAAGUCAGAUUUUUGCUGAAAUUGUGACACCGGCGCUUAGGGAUUUUUUCAAAAUAAUCUUUUCCGCCGGUUAAGUUGUUGAGGGCCGAUUUCUUGUCCUGUGAUAAAAAGCCGUCUGUUUUGAACGCCAAACCUUUCAGGGGAGCAUUAGCAACCGGUUGGCACCAUUUUUGACUGAAUUGCCAAAAGUCAGAUUUUUGCUGAAAUUGUGACCCCGGGGAUUAGCGAUUUUUUCAAAAGAAAUCUCUUCCCCGGUUAAGUUGUUGAGGGCCGAUUUCUUGUCCUGUGAUAAAAGCCUUCUGUUUCGACUGCCAAACCUUUCAGGGGAGCAUUAGCAUCCGGUUGGCACCAUUUUUGAGUAAAUUGCCAAAAGUCAGAUUUUUGCUGAAAUUGUGACGCCGGGCUUAGGGAUUUUUCAAAAAAUCUUUUUCCGCCGGUUAAGUUGUUGAGGGCUGGUUUCUUGUCCGGUGAUAAAAGCCUUCUGUUUUGACGGCCAAACCUUUCAGGAGUGCAUUAGAAACCGGUUGGCACCAUUUUUGAGUAAAUUGCCAAAAGUCAGACUUUUGCUGAAAUUGUGACCCUUGGGCUUAGAGAUUUUUCAAAAAAAUUUUCCGCCGGUUAGUUGUUGAGGGCCGAUUUCCUGUCCUGUGAUAAAAGCCUACUGUUUAGACUGCCAAACCUUUCAGGGGAGCAUUAGCAACCGGUUGGCACCAUUUUUGACUGAAUUACCAAAAGUCAGAUUUUUGCUGAAAUUGUGACCCCGGGGCUUAGGGAUUUUUUCAAAAAAAUCUUUUAGGCCGGUUAAGUUGUUGAGGGCCGAUUUCCUGUCCUGUGAUAAAAAGCCUUCUGUUUCGACUGCCAAAACUUUCAGGGGAGCAUUUUCAAGCUUUUGGCACCAUUUUUGACUGAAUUGCCAAAAGUCAGAUUUUUGCUGAAAUUGUGACCCCGGGGCUUAGGGAUUUUUUCAAAAAAAUCUUUUCCGCCGGUUAAGUUGUUGAGGGCUGAUUUCUUGUCCUGUGAUAAAAAGCCUUCUGUUUCGACUGCCAAACAUUUAAGGGGAGCAUUAGCAACAGCUUGGCACCAUUUUUGACUGAAUUGCCAAAAGUCAGAUUUUGCUGAAAUUGUGACUCCGGGGCUUCGGGAUUUUUUCAAAAAAUCUUUUCCGCCGGUUGUUGUUGAGGGCUGAUUUCUUGUCCGGUGAUAAAAAGCCUUCUGUUUUGAACGCCAAGCCUUUCAGGGGAGCAUUUGCAACCGGUUGGCACCAUUUUUGACUGAAUUGCCAAAAGUCAGAUUUUUGCUGAAAUUGUGACCCCAGGGCUUAGGGAUUUUUUCAAAAAAAACUUUUUCCGCCGUUUAAGUUGUUGAGGGCUGAUUUCUUGUCCGGUGAUAAAAAGCCUUCUGUAUUGAACGCCAAAACUUUCAGGGGAGCAUUUGCAAGUGUUUGGCACCAUUUUUGACUGAAUUGCCAAAAGUCAGAUUUUUGCUGAAAUUGUGACCCCGGGGCUUAGGGAUUUUUUCAAAAAAAUCUUUUCCGCUGGUUAAGUUGUUGAGGGCUGAUUUCUUGUCCUGUGAUAAAAAGACUUCUGUUUCGACUGUCAAACCUUUCAGGGGAGCAUUCGCAGACCGGUUGGCACGAUUUUUGACUGAAUUGCCAAAAGUCAGAUUUUUGCUGAAAUUGUGACCCCGGGGAUUAGGGAUUUUUUCAAAAUAUCUUUUUCCGCUGGUUAUGUUGUUGAGGGCUGAUUUCUUGUCCUGUGAUAAAAAGCCUUCUGUUUCGACUGCCAAACCUUUCAGGGGAGCAUUAGCAACCGGUUGGCACCAUUUUUUACUGAAUCACCAAAAGUCAGAUUUUUGCUGAAAUUGUGACCCCGGGGUUUAGCGAUUUUUUCAAAAAAAUCUUUUCCGCCGGUUGUUGUUGAGGGCCGAUUUCUUGUCCUGUGAUAAAAAACCUUCUGUUUUGAACGCCAAACCUUUCAGGGGAGCUUUAGCAGCCGGUUGGCACCAUUUUUGACUGAAUUGCCAAAAGUCAGAUUUUUGCUGAAAUUGUGACCCCGGGGCUUAGCGAUUUUUUCAAAAAAAUCUUUUUCUGCCGGUUAAGUUGUUGAGAGCUGAUUUCUUGUCCGGUGAUAAAAAGCCUUCUGUUUUGAACGCCAAACCUUUCAGGGGAGCAUUUUCAAGCGUUUGGCACCAUUUUUGAGUAAAUUGCCUAAAGUCAGAUUUUUGCUGAAAUUGUGACCCCGGGGCUUAGGGAUUUUUUCGAAAAAAACUUUUUCCGCCGGUUAAGUUGUUGAGGGCUGAUUUCUUGUCCUGUGAUAAAAGCCUUCUGUUUCGACUGCCAAACCUUUCAGGGAGCAUUGCAAACCGGUUGGCACCAUUUUUGACUAAAUUGCCAAAAGUCAGAUUUUUGCUGAAAUUGUGACUCCGGGCCUUAGGGAUUUUUUAAAAAAAUAGUUUGCCGCCGGUUAAGUUGUUGAGGGCCGAUUUCUUGUCCUGUGAUAAAACGCCUUCUGUUUCGACUGCCAAACCUUUCAGGGGAGCAUUAGCAACCGGUUGGCACCAUUUUUGAGUGAAUCGCCAAAAGUCAGAUUUUUGCUGAAAUUGUGACCCCGGGGCUUUAGGGAUUUUUUCAAAAAUCUUUUCCGCCGGUUAAGUUGUUGAGGGCCGAUUUCUUGUCCUGUGAUAAAAGCCUUCUGUUUUGAACGCCAAACCUUUCAGGGGAGCUUUAGCAACCGGUUGCCACCAUUUUGGACUGAAUUGCCAAAAGUCAGAUUUUUGCUGAAAUUGUGACCCCGGGGCUUAGCGAUUUUUUCAAAAAAUCUUUUCCGCCGGUUAAGUGGUUGAGGGCUGAUUUCUUGUCCUGUGAUAAAAAGCCUUCUGUUUCCACUGCCUAAACUUUCAGUGGAGCAUUUGCAACCGAUUGGCACCAUUUUUGACUGAAUUGCCAAAAGUCAGAUUUUUGCUGAAAUUGUGACCCCGGGCUUAGCGUUUUUUCAAAAAAUCUUCUUCCGUCGGUUAAGUUGUUGAGGGCUGAUUUCUUGUCCUGUGAUAAAAGCCUUCUGUUUCGACUGCCAAACCUUUCAGGGGAGCAUUGCAAACCGGUUGGCACCAUUUUUGACUGAAUUGCCAAAAGUCAGAUUUUUGCUGAAAUUUGACCCUGGGCUUAGGGAUUUUUUCAAAGUAUCUUUUUCCGCCGGUUAAGUUGUUGAGGGCUGAUUUCUUGUCCUGUGAUAAAAAGCCUUCUGUUUCGACUGCCAAACCUUUCAGGGGAGCAUUAGCAACCGGUUGGCACCAUUUUUUACUGAAUCGCCAAAAGUCAGAUGUUUGCUGAAAUUGUGACCCCGGGGCUUAGCGAUUUUUUCAAAAAAUCUUUUUGGCCGGUUAAGUUGUUGAGGGCCGAUUUCCUGUCCUGUGAUAAAAGCCUUCUGUUUCAAUGCCAAAACUUUCAGGGGAGCAUUUUCAAGCGUUUGGCACCAUUUUUGACUGAAUUGCCAAAAGUCAGAUUUUUGCUGAAAUUGUGACCCGGGGCUUAGGGAUUUUUUCAAAAAAUCUUUUUCCGCCGGUUAAGUUGUUGAGGGCUGAUUUCUUGUCCUGUGAUAAAAGCCUUCUGUUUCGACCGCCAAACCAUUCAGUGGAGCAUUUUCAAGCGUUUGGCACCAUUUUGGUGUGAAUCGCCAAAAGUCAGAUUUUUGCUGAAAUUGUGACCCCGGGCUUAGGUAUUUUUCAAAAAAUCUUUUCCGCCGGUUGUUGUUGAGGGCCGAUUUCCUGUCCUGUGAUAAAAAGCCUUCUGUUUCGACAGCCAAACCUUUCAGGGGAGCAUUUGCAAGUGUUUGGCACCAUUUUUGACUGAAUUGCCAAAAGUCAGAUUUUUGCUGAAAUUGUGACCCCGGGGCUUAGCGAUUUUUUCAAAAAAUCAUGUUCCGCCGGUUAAGUUCUUGAGGGCUGAUUUCUUGUCCUGUGAUAAAAAGCCUUCUGUUUCAACUGCCAAACCUUUCAGGGGAGCAUUAGCAAGCGGUUGGCACCAUUUUUUACUGAAUCGCCAAAAGUCAGAUUUUUGCUGAAAUUGUGACCACGGGGCUUAGGGAUUUUUUCAAAAAAAUCUUUUUCCGCCGGUUAAGUUGUUGAGGGCUGAUUUCUUGUCCUGUGAUAAAAAGCCUUCUGUUUCGACUGCCGAAACUUUCUAGAGGAGCAUUUUCAAGCGUUUGGCACCAUUUUUGACUGAAUUGCCAAAAGUCAGAUUUUUGCUGAAAUUGUGACCCGGGGCUUAGGGAUUUUUUCAAAAAUCUUUUCCGCCGGUUAAGUUGUUGAGGGCUGAUUUCUUGUCCUGUGAUAAAAGCCUUCUGUUUCGACCGCCAAACCAUUCAGUGGAGCAUUUUCAAGCAUUUGGCACCAUUUUGGUGUGAAUCGCCAAAAGUCAGAUUUUGCUGAAAUUAUGACCCUGAGGCUUAGGGAUUUUUUCAAAAAAAUCUUUUUCCGCCGGUUAAGUUGUUGAGGGCCGAUUUCCUGUCCUGUGAUAAAAAGCCUUCUGUUUCAACUGCCAAACCUUUCAGGGGAGCAUUUGCAACCGAUUGGCACCAUUUUUGACUGAAUCGCCAAAAGUCAGAUUUUUGCUGAAAUUGUGACCCCGUGGCUUAGCGUUUUUUUCAAAAAAAUCUUCUUCCGUCGGUUAAGUUGUUGAGGGCUGAUUUCUUGUCCUGUGAUAAAAAGCCUUCUGUUUCGACUGCCAAACCUUUCAGGGGAGCAUUGCAAACCGGUUGGCACCAUUUUUGACUGAAUUGCCAAAAGUCAGAUUUUUGCUGAAAUUGUGACCCCGGGGCUUAGGGAUUUUUUCAAAGUAUCUUUUUCCGCCGGUUAAGUUGUUGAGGGCUGAUUUCUUGUCCUGUGAUAAAAAGCCUUCUGUUUCGACUGCCAAACCUUUCAGGGGAGCAUUAGCAACCGGUUGGCACCAUUUUUUAAUGAAUAGCCAAAAGUCAGAUGUUUGCUGAAAUUGUGACCCGAGGCUUAGCGAUUUUUUCAAAAAAUCUUUUUGGCCGGUUAGUUGUUGAGGGCCGAUUUCCUGUCCUGUGAUAAAAAGCCUUCUGUUUCGAAUGCCAAAACUUUCAGGGGAGCAUUUUCAAGCGUUUGGCACCAUUUUUGACUGAAUUGCCAAAAGUCAGAUUUUUGCUGAAAUUGUGACCCCGGGGCUUAGGGAUUUUUUCAAAAAAAUCUUUUUCCGCCGGUUAAGUUGUUGAGGGCUGAUUUCUUGUCCUGUGAUAAAAAGCCUUCUGUUUCGACCGCCAAACCAUUCAGUGGAGCAUUUUCAAGCGUUUGGCACCAUUUUGGUGUGAAUCGCCAAAAGUCAGAUUUUUGCUGAAAUUGUGACCCCGGGCUUAGGUAUUUUUCAAAAAAUCUUUUCCGCCGGUUAAGUUGUUGAGGGCCGAUUUCCUGUCCUGUGAUAAAAAGCCUUCUGUUUCGACAGCCAAACCUUUCAGGGGAGCAUUUGCAAGUGUUUGGCACCAUUUUUGACUGAAUUGCCAAAAGUCAGAUUUUGCUGAAAUUGUGACCCCGGGGCUUAGCGAUUUUUCAAAAAAUCAUGUUCCACGGUUAAGUUCUUUGAGGGCUGAUUUCUUGUCCUGUGAUAAAAGCCUUCUGUUUCAACUGCCAAACCUUUCAGGGGAGCAUUAGCAAGCGGUUGGCACCAUUUUUACUGAAUCGCCAAAAGUCAGAUUUUUGCUGAAAUUGUGACCACGGGGCUUAGGGAUUUUUCAAAAAAUCUUUUCCGCCGGUUAAGUUGUUGAGGGCUGAUUUCUUGUCCUGUGAUAAAAGCCUUCUGUUUCGACUGCCGAAACUUUCAGAGGAGCAUUUUCAAGCGUUUGGCACCAUUUUUGACUGAAUUGCCAAAAGUCAGAUUUUUGCUGAAAUUGUGACCCCGGGGCUUAGGGAUUUUUUCAAAAAAAUCUUUUCCGCCGGUUAAGUUGUUGAGGGCUGAUUUCUUGUCCUGUGAUAAAAAGCCUUCUGUUUCGACCGCCAAACCAUUCAGUGGAGCAUUUUCAAGCAUUUGGCACCAUUUUGGUGUGAAUCGCCAAAAGUCAGAUUUUUGCUGAAAUUGUGACCCCGAGGCUUAGGGAUUUUUUCAAAAAAAUCUUUUUCCGCCGGUUAAGUUGUUGAGGGCCGAUUUCCUGUCCUGUGAUAAAAGCCUUCUGUUUCAACUGCCAAACCUUUCAGGGAGCAUUUGCAACCGAUUGGCACCAUUUUUGACUGAAUUGCCAAAAGUCAGAUUUUUGCUGAAAUUGUGACCCCGGGGCUUAGCGUUUUUUCAAAAAAUCUUCUUCCGUCGGUUAAGUUGUUGAGGGCUGAUUUCUUGUCCUGUGAUAAAAAGCCUUCUGUUUCGACUGCCAAACCUUUCAGGGAGCAUUGCAAACCGGUUGGCACCAUUUUUGACUGAAUUGCCAAAAGUCAGAUUUUUGCUGAAAUUGUGACCCCGGGGCUUAGGGAUUUUUCAAAGUAUCUUUUCCGCCGGUUAAGUUGUUGAGGGCUGAUUUCUUGUCCUGUGAUAAAAAGCCUUCUGUUUCGACUGCCAAACCUUUCAGGGGAGCAUUAGCAACCGGUUGGCACCAUUUUUACUGAAUCGCCAAAAGUCAGAUGUUUGCUGAAAUUGUGACCCCGGGGCUUAGCGAUUUUUUCAAAAAAUCUUUUUUGGCCGGUUAAGUUGUUGAGGGCAGAUUUCAUGUCCUGUGAUAAAAAGCCUUCUGUUUAAAAAGCCAAACCUUUCAGGGGAGCAUUAUCAAGCGUUUGACACCAUUUUUGACUGAAUAGCCAAAAGUCAGAUUUUUGCUGAAAUUAGACCACGGGGCUUAGCGAUUUUUUCAAAAAAAUCUUUUGGGCCGGUUAAGUUGUUGAGGGCUGAUUUCUUGUCCUGUGAUAAAAAGCCUUCUGUUUCGACUGCCAAACCAUUCAGUGGAGCAUUUUCAAGCGUUUGGCACCAUUUUGGUGUGAAUCGCCAAAAGUCAGAUUUUUGCUGAAAUUGUGACCCCGGGGCUUAGGUAUUUUUUCAAAAAAAUCUUUUCCGCCGGUUAAGUUGUUGAGGGCCGAUUUCCUGUCCUGUGAUAAAAGCCUUCUGUUUCGACAGCCAAACCUUUCAGGGGAGCAUUUGCAAGUGUUUGGCACCCUUUUUGCGUGAAUUGCCAAAAGUCAGAUUUUGCUGAAAUUGUGACCCUGGGCUUAGCGAUUUUUUCAAAAAAAUCAUGUUCCGCCGGUUAAGUUCUUGAGGGCUGAUUUCUUGUCCUGUGAUAAAAGCCUUCUGUUUCAACUGCCAAACCUUUCAGGGAGCAUUAGCAAGCGGUUGGCACCAUUUUUACUGAAUCGCCAAAAGUCAGAUUUUGCUGAAAUUGUGACCACGGGGCUUAGGGAUUUUUUCAAAAAUCUUCUUCCGUCGGUUAAGUUGUUGAGGGCUGAUUUCUUGUCCUGUGAUAAAAAGCCUUCUGUUUCGACUGCCAAACCUUUCAGGGGAGCAUUAGAAACCGGUUGGCACCAUUUUUUACUGAAUAGCCAAAAGUCAGAUGUUUGCUGAAAUUGUGACCCCGGGGCUUAGCGAUUUUUUCAAAAAAUCUUUUGGCCGGUUAAGUUGUUGAGGGCCGAUUUCCUGUCCUGUGAUAAAAGCCUUCUGUUUCGAAUGCCAAAACUUUCAGGGAGCAUUUUCAAGCGUUUGGCACCAUUUUUGACUGAAUUGCCAAAAGUCAGAUUUUUGCUGAAAUUGUGACCCGGGGCUUAGCGAUUUUUUCAAAAAAUCUUUUCCGCCGGUUAAGUUGUUGAGGGCUGAUUUCUUGUCCUGUGAUAAAAAGCCUUCUGUUUCGAAUGCCAAAACAUUCAGUGGAGCAUUUUCAAGCGUUUGGCACCAUUUUGGUGUGAAUCGCCAAAAGUCAGAUUUUUGCUGAAAUUGUGACCCCGGGGCUUAGGUAUUUUUUCAAAAAAAUCUUUUCCGCCGGUUAAGUUGUUGAGGGCUGAUUUCUUGUCCUGUGAUAAAAGCUUCUGUUUCGACAGCCAAACCUUUCAGGGGAGCAUUUGCAAGUGUUUGGCACCAUUUUUGACUGAAUUGCCAAAAGUCAGAUUUUUGCUGAAAUUGUGACCCCGGGGCUUAGCGAUUUUUUCAAAAAAAUCAUGUUCCGCCGGUUAAGUUCUUGAGGGCUGAUUUCUUGUCCUGUGAUAAAAAGCCUUCUGUUUCAACUGCCAAACCUUUCAGGGGAGCAUUAGCAAGCGGUUGGCACCAUUUUUUACUGAAUCGCCAAAAGUCAGAUUUUUGCUGAAAUUGUGACCACGGGGCUUAGGGAUUUUUUCAAAAAAAAUCUUUUCCGCCGGUUAAGUUGUUGAGGGCUGAUUUCUUGUCCUGUGAUAAAAAGCCUUCUGUUUCGACUGCCGAAACUUUCAGAGGAGCAUUUUCAAGCGUUUGGCACCAUUUUUGACUGAAUUGCCAAAAGUCAGAUUUUUGCUGAAAUUGUGACCCCGGGGCUUAGGGAUUUUUUCAAAAAAAUCUUUUCCGCCUGUUCAGUUGUUGAGGGCUGAUUUCUUGUCCUGUGAUAAAAGCCUUCUGUUUCGACCGCCAAACCAUUCAGUGGAGCAUUUUCAAGCAUUUGGCACCAUUUUGGUGUGAAUCGCCAAAAGUCAGAUUUUUGCUGAAAUUGUGACCCGAGGCUUAGGGAUUUUUUCAAAAAAUCUUUUUCGCCGGUUAAGUUGUUGAGGGCCGAUUUCCUGUCCUGUGAUAAAAAGCCUUCUGUUUCGACAGCCAAAACUUUCAGAGGAGCAUUUUCAAGUGUUUGGCACCAUUUAUGACUGCAUUGCCAAAAGUCAGAUUUUUGCUGAAAUUGUGACCCCGGGGCUUAGGGAUUUUUUCAAAAAAAUCUUUUCCGCCGGUUAAGUUGUUGAGGGCCGAUUUCCUGUCCUGUGAUAAAAAGCCUUCUGUUUCGACAGCCAAAACUUUCAGGGGAGCAUUUGCAAGUGUUUGGCACCAUUUUUGACUGAAUUGCCAAAAGUCAAAUUUUUGCUGAAAUCGUGACCCCGGGGCUUAGCGAUUUUUUCAAAAAAAUCUUUUUCCGCCGUUUAAGAUGUUGAGGGCUGAUUUCUUGUCCUGUGAUAAAAAGCCUUCUGUUUCGACUACCAAAACUUUCAGAGGAGCAUUUUCAAGCGUUUGGCACCAUUUUUGAGUUAAUCGACAAAAGUCAGUUUUUUGUUGAAAUUGUGACCCGGGGCUUAGCGAUUUUUUCAAAAAAUCAUUUUCCGCCUGUUAAGUUCUUGAGGGCUGAUUUCUUGUCCUAUUAUAAAAAGACUUCUGUUUAGACUGCCAAACCUUUCAGGGGAGCAUUAGCAACCGGUUGGCACCAUUUUUGACUGAAUUGCCAAAAGUCAGAUUUUUGCUGAAAUUGUGACCCCGGGGCUUAGGGAUUUUUUCAAAAAAAUCUUUUUCCGCCGGUUAAGUUGUUGAGGGAUGAUUUCUUCUCCUGUGAUAAAAAGCCUUCUGUUUCGACUGCCAAACCUUUCAGGGGAGCAUUAGCAACCGGUUGGCACCAUUUUUGACUGAAUUGCCAAAAGUCAGAUUUUUGCUGAAAUUGUGACCCCGGGGCUUAGCGAUUUUUUCAAAAAAAUCAUGUUCCGCCGGUUAAGUUGUUGAGGGCUGAUUUCUUGUCCUGUGAUAAAAGCCUUCUGUUUCGACCGCCAAACCAUUCAGUGGAGCAUUUUCAAGCGUUUGGCACCAUUUUGGUGUGAAUCGCCAAAAGUCAGAUUUUUGCUGAAAUUGUGACCCCGGGGCUUAGGGAUUUUUUCAAAAAAAUCUUUUCCGCCGGUUAAGUUGUUGAGGGCCGAUUUCCUGUCCUGUGAUAAAAAGCCUUCUGUUUCGACUGCCAAACCUUUCAGGGGAGCAUUUGCAAGUGUUUGGCACCAUUUUUGACUGAAUUGCCAAAAGUCAGAUUUUUGCUGAAAUUGUGACCCCGGGGCUUAGGGAUUUUUUCAAAAAAUCAUGUUCCGCCGGUUAAGUUCUUGAGGGCUGAUUUCUUGUCCUGUGAUAAAAGCCUUCUGUUUCAACUGCCAAACCUUUCAGGGAGCAUUAGCAAGCGGUUGGCACCAUUUUUACUGAAUCGCCAAAAGUCAGAUUUUUGCUGAAAUUGUGACCACGGGGCUUAGGGAUUUUUUCAAAAAAUCUUUUCCGCCGGUUAAGUUGUUGAGGGCUGAUUUCUUGUCCUGUGAUAAAAGCCUUCUGUUUCGACUGCCGAAACCUUUCAGAGGAGCAUUUUCAAGCGUUUGGCACCAUUUUUGACUGAAUUGCCAAAAGUCAGAUUUUUGCUGAAAUUGUGACCCGGGGCUUAGGGAUUUUUUCAAAAAAUCUUUUCCGCCGGUUAAGUUGUUGAGGGCUGAUUUCUUGUCCUGUGAUAAAAAGCCUUCUGUUUCGACCGCCAAACCAUUCAGUGGAGCAUUUUCAAGCAUUUGGCACCAUUUUGGUGUGAAUCGCCAAAAGUCAGAUUUUUGCUGAAAUUGUGACCCCGAGGCUUAGGGAUUUUUUCAAAAAAAUCUUUUCCGCCGGUUAAGUUGUUGAGGGCCGAUUUCCUGUCCUGUGAUAAAAAGCCUUCUGUUUCGACAGCCAAAACUUUCAGAGGAGCAUUUUCAAGUGUUUGGCACCAUUUAUGACUGCAUUGCCAAAAGUCAGAUUUUUGCUGAAAUUGUGACCCGGGGCUUAGGGAUUUUUCAAAAAAUCUUUUCCGCCGGUUAAGUUGUUGAGGGCCGAUUUCCUGUCCUGUGAUAAAAAGCCUUCUGUUUCGACUGCCAAAACUUUCAGGGGAGCAUUUGCAAGUGUUUGGCACCAUUUUUGACUGAAUGGCCAAAAGUCAAAUUUUUGCUGAAAUCGUGACCCCGGGGCUUAGCGAUUUUUUCAAAAAAAUCUUUUUUCCGCCGUUUAAGAUGUUGAGGGCUGAUUUCUUGUCCUGUGAUAAAAAGCCUUCUGUUUCGACUACCAAAACUUUCAGAGGAGCAUUUUCAAGCGUUUGGCACCAUUUUUGAGUUAAUCGACAAAAGUCAGUUUUUUGUUGAAAUUGUGACCCCGGGGCUUAGCGAUUUUUUCAAAAAAAUCAUUUUCCGCCGGUUAAGUUCUUGAGGGCUGAUUUCUUGUCCUAUGAUAAAAAGUCUUCUGUUUCGACUGCCAAACCUUUCAGGGGAGCAUUAGCAACCGGUUGGCACCAUUUUUGACUGAAUUGCCAAAAGUCAGAUUUUUGCUGAAAUUGUGACCCCGGGGCUUAGCGAUUUUUUCAAAAAAAUCUUUUUCCGCCGUUUAAGAUGUUGAGGGCUGAUUUCUUGUCCUGUGAUAAAAAGCCUUCUGUUUCGACUACCGAAACUUUCAGGGGAGCAUUUUCAAGCGUUUGGCACCAUUUUUGAGUUAAUCGACAAAAGUCAGUUUUUUGUUGAAAUUGUGACCCCGGGGCUUAGCGAUUUUUUCAAAAAAAUCAUUUUCCGCCGGUUAAGUUCUUGAGGGCUGAUUUCUUGUCCUAUGAUAAAAAGUCUCUGUUUCGACUGCCAAACCUUUCAGGGGAGCAUUAGCAACCGGUUGGCACCAUUUUUGACUGAAUUGCCAAAAGUCAGAUUUUUGCUGAAAUUGUGACCCGGGGCUUAGGGAUUUUUUCAAAAUAUCUUUUUCCACCGGUUAAGUUGUUGAGGGCUUAUUUCUUGUCCUGUGAUAAAAAGCCUUCUGUUUCGACUGCCAAACCUUUCAGGGGAGCAUUAGUAACCGGUUGGCACCAUUUUUGACUGAAUUGCCAAAAGUCAGAUUUUUGCUGAAAUUGUGACCCCGGGCUUAGGGAUUUUUUCAAAAAAUCUUUUCCGCCGGUUAAGUUGUUGAGGGCUGAUUUCUUCUCCUGUGAUAAAAGCCUUCUGUUUCCACUGCCAAACCUUUCAGGGGAGCAUUAGCAACCGGUUGGCACCAUUUUUGACUGAAUUGCCAAAAGUCAGAUUUUUGCUGAAAUUGUGAUCCCGGGGCUUAGGGAUUUUUUCAAAAAAAUCUUUUCCGCCGGUUAAGUUGUUGAGGGCCGAUUUCCUGUCCUAUGAUAAAAGCCUUCUGUUUCGACUGCCAAAACGGUUCGGGGAGCAUUUUCAAGCGGUUGGCACCAUUUUUGACUGAAUUGCCAAAAGUCAGAUUUUUGCUGAAAUUGUGACCCCGGGGCUUAGCGAUUUUUUCAAAAAUAUCUUUUUCCACCGGUUAAGUUGUUGAGGGCUGAUUUCUUGUCCUGUGAUAAAAAGCCUUCUGUUUCGACUGCCAUACCUUUCAGGGGAGCAUUAGCAACCGGUUGGCACCAUUUUUUACUGAAUCGCCAAAAGUCAGAUUUUUGCUGAAAUUGUGACCCCGGGGCUUAGCGAUUUUUUCAAAAAAAUCUUUUAGGCCGGUUAAGUUGUUGAGGGCCGAUUUCCUGUCCUGUGAUAAAAAGCCUUCUGUUUCGACUGCCAAAACUUUCAGGGGAGCAUUUUCAAGCGUUUGGCACCAUUUUUAACUGAAUUGCCAAAAGUCAGAUUUUUGCUGAAAUUGUGACCCCGGGGCUUAGGGAUUUUUUCAAAAAAAUCUUUUCCGCCGGUUAAGUUGUAGAGGGCCGAUUUCUUGUCCUGUGAUAAAAAGCCUUCUGUUUUGUACGCCAAACCUUUCAGGGGAGCAUUUGCAACCGGUUGGCACCAUUUUUGACUGAAUCGCCAAAAGUCAGAUUUUUGCUGAAAUUGUGACCCCGGGGCUUAGGGAUUUUUUCAAAAAAUUGUUUUCCGCCUGUUAAGUUGUUGAGGGCCGAUUUCUUGUCCUGUGAUAAAAAGCCUUCCGUUUUGAACACCAAACCUUUCAGGGGAGCAUUUGCAAGCGUCUGGCACCAUUUCUGAGUGAAUUCCUGAAAGUCAGAUUUUUGCUGAAAUCGUGACUCCUGGAAUUAAGGAUUUUUUCCAAAAAACCUUUUUCCACCGGUUAAGUUGCUGAGGGCGAAUUCCUUGUCCUGUGAUAAAAAGCCUUCUGUUUCGACUGCCAAACCUUUCAGGGAAGAAUUUGCAAGCUUUUGGCACCAUUUUUGAGUGAAUUGCCAAAAGUCAGAUUUUUGCUGAUAUUGUGACCUCGGGGCUUAGGGAUUUUUUCAAAAAAACCUUUUUCCGCCGGUUAAUUGUUCGAGGGCUGAUUCCCUGUCCUGUGAUAAAAAGCCUUCUGUUUCCAUCUUCCAAGCUUUCAGGGAGCAUUUUCAAGCGUUUGGCACCAUUUUUGAGUGAAUUGCCAAAUGUCAGACCAAUGGGGUGCAGUCCAAAUGGAUCAAGGGACCUAUUUAUGCCCAGAGUUAACCCUCAUAUGCUGUGAACCUCCCCCACUGCCCCCCCCAAUUUCCCCCUGGUUUGUUUCCCUGCUAGAAAAUGGUGCAAUUUCUUCCUUUUCACCUCAUUUUUUAUUAGUAUGUGACUAAACAAAUGCAAAAUUAGUGCCUAAAAAAUAGCCAAUGUACACACAAACUUAUGUAGACUUCACUUUUCAGUAUACUGGAUAAAAUAAUGACACAGAAAAGGAACCCAAAUAAGAGUAUAUUACAUAAUAAAAUGCAAAAAAGGGGGUUCACAGGUAGAUUUUGUGCUUUCAUUUAUGGCCAAUCCUCAGUGGUGCUUCACAUAGCAGGGAGGACAUGCGAAGUGUCAAAGCCUUGGGGCACAUGUUUGAAUAUAAAGGAAGCCAUUGUACCAUUUUCACUCACUUGCUAAACAUUUGACUCCAACUGUAAAAUUGUUAACUUUUGAUGCAUUUAUUUGUCUUGUUAUUAUCAUUGUCCCCUGAAUUUACUGACUGUGUGUUCACUUCUGUUUUAGUACACUUGCACUGUUUUCGAAAUUUCAGGUCUUAAAAAAGAGAGAUAAAUUUUUGAUGAAUAAUAAUAAUAAUGCCUGCAAAAAUUUAAAAAAGAGUAUAUUGCAUCACAUGCUGUCCUGUCCUGACUGCACUCUUCUCCUCCCCAGUGUGACAUGAGAAAUUGGUCGGAUGACUUGAUGUACAUUUCAAAGCACCGCAAUUUCUUCCUCAUGCAAAAGAGUUGUUACUUUUGAAUAAGAAAAUCUUGGGAUAAACAUUGGGAGAUGCCGACUUCUGAAUCCCACUUAUCAAUGUAGCUUGAAAGCCCCAGAGUCUUAAUAAGCUGGCAGCUGAUGAAGGUGAGCCUGCUUGCAAACCUAAAUUGGUCCAGUUGUGGGUCAUUGCAUGUUGAGGUCCCCAGGGCCACCCCAAUAACUCACACAUCACACAGAGUUUUUUGUUUAAGGUUUUUUGGCAUAAUUUUGGCCACAACUUUAUUAAAAUAUAAAAAUGUGAGUGGUUGCUUAGGCAUUGGUUGCGACUAUCUGCCCCCCCAUGGGGGACAGACUGACAUUCUGCACAAUGCGAAAGUCAGAAAAGGGGAAUACACUUGGGGGUAGCGUCGGAGCAGGGAACCUGCCCUUAGCCCUCCCCAUAUGCAGCCAGGAGCUCAUUGCUAUGGCCCGAGCCCCCUUGACAGGGUGGACAAGCAAUAGUUGGCCCCUGUAUUCCUUUAACGGAAUCCCUUGCAGCAGCAGCAUUAGAGGGGCAGGCACAGCCAAUCCAUGCCCCUCAACCAACCAAACCAUAAACCAAUGCCUAACUGCAACCUUACAAGUUGUGACGAUUUGCUACACAGUAGGCAAAAACCAAAUGGCCCCAGCCAAUCAGCCAGAUGGACAAAAUUCCAACCGGGCCCCUGCCCCAAGAGCAGACGACCCCAUGACAGGCAUAGCAAGGUCAAAGCGAACAACCCUAAUUCUAGGGAUGGGGGGGACGGGCAAUCCGAUGCAUGGAGCGAAAAGAGGAAGCCCUAGCCUCGUGCAAGGAGUUUUAGCAUUUCUGGCUGUCAAUCAACAAAUAGCAACAUUAACUUCUUCCCAACAACAAGGGAAGCCCAAUCGUAUCAGUGGCCAACGAUCAAUUAGCCCGCCCCCAACUUUGGAGUGUCCUGGCGGCCCCCACCGCAACACGUGCUCUCCAUGAAGGAGAACACGCUUUCUGAAAAAGUUUGAACUGCAGAUAUAAAGAGAACCACCACGCUCUUUCCUCUGAGGGUUAGUCAAUAACCUUCUUGUGAUGCAGAGGCACACUGAUGGGGGAUGUGGAAAGAUGACAGACCUACUGACCUUGGUAAACGGUCUCUCUCUAAAAGUACGUGGAAGGUUGGAAAUAAUGUUGGAAGGGGACAGCUCCCUGGGAAAAUGCAAGCAGCCGGCGAGAGGUGAAAUUUGGUGAAUGAUCUGAGCUGAAAGUACAGCUGACGGGGUAAGCAGGUUGGAGAGGAGCGACUGAGCAAUGUGUCUCCGUUGCUGACAAAGCUAUGAUGUUCGAAACGAUCGCUUCAUCAGCUAAGCCGAAAUUGCAGGAUAUUGUCAAAAUGUUCCUGCUGAUGGGGGAACAUGGCAGCUAAAUGAAGCGGGCAAGAAGCAGAAUUAAAACUACUAGCUUUUGACAGGUUUUUCUGUCAGCUGCCGGUGUCAGAUCAGGGAUCUAAGAAACCUGUCCCUUUGUUUCCAUGGAUAUCUUCAUGUUCCCAAACACGGUGGCAUUGCAUAUGUGGGCCACUUGCUCUCAGUGCACAAGAAACAAGAGUCCAGGAGCUAAUAUCAUACAGAGGCAGGACUAGGGAAAGCAAGGCCACAUUUUUAUUACCCUUAAGGUAAAGGGACCCCUGACCAUUAGGUCCAGUCGUGACCGACUCUGGGUUUGAGGUGCUCAUCUCGCUUUAUUGGCCGAGGGAGCCGGCGUACAGCUUCUGGGUCAUGUGGCCAGCAUGACUAAAAGGCUUCUGGCGAACCAGAGCAGCACACAGAAACGCCGUUUACCUUCCCACCGGAGCGGUACCUAUUUAUCUACUUGCACUUUGACAUGCUUUCGAACUGCUAGGUUAGCAGGAGCAGGGACCAAGCAAUGGAAGCUCACCCCAUUGCGGGGAUUCGAACCACUGACCUUCUGAUAGGCAAGUCCUAGGCUCUGUGGUUUAACCCACAGCGCCACCCGCGUCCCUUUUAUUACCCUUAGUUACAGUCAUAAUCUAGGUUGACAAUAGGGUCGGGCAGGGACUGUACAAUCAGUCAGCUUGCCUGCUGACUAAGGUCUCCCUCCCUAGCUUUCUGGCAAGGUGAAACACAAGGGAGUUAUGGAAUACUGUAUGCAGUUCUGGGCACCACAAUUUAAGAAGGAUGUUGACAAGCUGGAACAUGUGCAGAGGAGGGCGACCAAGCUGAUCAACGAUCUGGAAACCAAGCCAUAUGAGGAACGGUUGAAGGAGAUGGGUAUGUUUAGCCUAGAAAAGAGAAGACUUAGAGGUGAUAGGAAAGGCAUCUUCAAAUAUCCACCCCUCUGUUGCCGGGCAGGUUAGUAUGGAUGACCAUCUGCAGUGAUUGGGCGGUUGGGUUACUGGGCAAAUUUUGGUGUUGCCAUUUAGGGGGACGGACCAAAGGUUAUAAAAUCAAGUCACACAGCACUGACUGGGCUCUUUUGCUGCGUGCAUCAGAUCACCCGCCCACCCUCCCUAAUCUAGGGCUAUUGCGUUGACCUUGCUAUGCCUGUCAUGCGGUUGUCUGCUUUUGGGGCAGGGGCCUGGUAGGAAUUUUCCCCACUUGGCUGAUUGGCUGGCGCCAUUUGGUUUUUGCCUACUGCAUAGCAAAUCGCCACAACUUGUAAGGUUGCGGUUAGGCAUUGGUUAAAAAACUGGUUGGUGGAGGGGUAAGGAUUGGUGGUGCCUGCCCCUUCAAUGCUGCUGUGGAAAGGGACUUCCAUUAAAGGAAUCCAGGGGCUUGCCAUUCUUUCGUCCGUACCCCUGAAUGGGGCUUAGGGCUGCGCAAGCCCCCAGGAGCAUAUGGGGGGGGGGAUGAGGUUCUGGUGCCCGGCUCCAUGCUCUCCCCAAUAUUCUUUUCCCUUACUGGCUUUCGCUGGAAUCCGGAAGUCAGUUCUGUCCCUGGGUGUGGGGACAGAUAGUCAUAACCAAUGCCUAAGCAACCACUCCCGUUUAUGUAUUUUAAUAAAGUUGUGGCCAAAAGUAUGCCAAAAACCUUAAACAAAAAUCAUGUGUGAACUGUGAAUUAUUUAGGGGUGGCUUAGGGGACCUUGACACACAACUGAAAGGUAGAGGAACAAAGUAUGGGGACCUCAGUAUAGUGUGGGCACAGCAACAGAGGUUUUGGAUUGGAUUAUUGUUGUAUUAUUCCAGUAGGAACACCCUUUGGGACUUUUCGUAGUGGGAAGCAACAUAGAAGUGUAAUAAACGCACUUGCAUUUUGUAAAGAUUUAGAUUUUGUAAAGAUUUAGAACCAUCCAUCACGGAAUCAAAGCAGGAAAUAUUCUAUAUGCUAAAAUUCAGAACCCAAAAAAUGACUUGGGGUUAUUUUAUGAACGAUCUAUAAAGUCCUCUAAGUGCAGAUCUGUCAGAGCACUGAAGACAAACAAGAUGCUAGGGCUGUAUUGCUAAGGAGAGAGACAGAAAUAAUCCCUCCGCUAUUGAUUUAUAUUCUAUCGAGAGUGGCAGUUACCCCUCACCUUGAAUCCAGUAUAAAAUGUUGCUGUUCUGUUACCUAACAAAGUAUACAAUUGACUUUGAGAAUACAGAAUAAGCCAGGGGUAAAAAAGGAGAUCAGGCUUCAGGGAUUUAUGGCGAAGAAGAAAGGUAAAAUAGAAUUUAUUUACACUGAAUAGACAACCUAGUGCGGGUGGAAGGCUUUAUCCCAGUAUGACACAAACGCCAUUCUCUGUGACAGAUACAUUAACUAUGUCAUCUGCAAAAAUGCAACUUUAUUUUCAGGAAUUAAGGAGCUGAAUGUUGAAAACUUGAGGAGAGAUAUGGUACUUCUUCAAGCAGCUCAUUGUUAACUAUGGAACUCACUGUCACAGGAGGCAGUGAUGGCUCCCAGCUUGGAUGGCUUUAAAGAGGAUUAGAUAAAUUCUUGGAAGAAAAGGCUAUCAAUAGCUACUAGCCACAACGGUCAUGUUCCACCUCCAUGGUCAGAGGUAAUAUGCCUCUGCGUACCACUUGUUAGGAAUCACAGGUGGCCCUGCUUGGAUGCUCAUGUCCUGCUUGCAGGUUUCUCAGUCAUCUGGUUUGUGGUUGUUGUUUAGUCGUGUCCGACUCUUUGUGACCCCAUGGACCAGAGCAUGCCAGGCACUCCUGUCUUCCACUGCCUCUCGCAGUUUGGUCAAACUCAUGCUGGUAGCUUCAAGAACACUGUCCAACCAUCUCGUAUGCAAUAUUUUUCUUUACAGCAUUGGACUUUCCUUUCGCUUCCAGGCAUAUCCACAACUGAGUCCCUCGUCCUUGGUGAAGUACAAUAAGAACCUUGUAAAAUAUAGUUUUAUUUAUUGGGAUGCGGGUGGUGCUGUGGGUUAAACCACAGAGCCUAGGACUGGCCGAUCAGAAGGUCUGCGGUUCGAAUCCCCACAACGGGGUGAGCUCCCGUUCAUAGAAUCAUAGAAUCAUAGAGUUGGAAGAGACCACAAGGGCCAUCGAGUCCAACCCCCUGCCAAGCAGGAAACACCAUCACAGCACUCCCGACAUAUGGUUGUCAAGCCUCUGCUUAAAGACCUCCAAAGAAGGAGACUCCACCACACUCCUUGGCAGCAAAUUCCACUGUCAAACAGCUCUUACUGUCAGGAAGUUCUUCCUAAUGUUUAGGUGGAAUCUUCUUUCUUGUAGUUUGGAUCCAUUGCUCCGUGUCCGCUUCUCUGGAGCAGCAGAAAACAACCUUUCUCCCUCCUCUAUGUGACAUCCUUUUAUAUAUUUGAACAUGGCUAUCAUAUCACCCCUUAACCUCCUCUUCUCCAGGCUAAACAUGCCCAGCUCCCUUAGCCGUUCCUCAAAAGGCAUUGUUUCCAGGCCUUUGACCAUUUUGGUUGCCCUCCUCUGGACACGUUCCAGUUUGUCAGUGUCCUUCUUGAACUGUGGUGCCCAGAACUGGACACAGUACUCCAGGUGAGGUCUGACCAGAGCAGAAUACAGUGGCACUAUUACUUCCCUUGAUCUAGAUACUAUACUCCUAUUGAUGCAGCCCAGAAUUGCAUUGGCUUUUUUAGCUGCCGCGUCACACUGUUGGCUCAUGUCAAGUUUGUGGUCAACCAAGACUCCUAGAUCCUUUUCACAUGUACUGCUCUCAAGCCAGGUGUCACCCAUCUUGUAUUUGUGCCUCUCAUUUUUUUUGCCCAAGUGCAAUACUUUACAUUUCUCCCUGUUAAAAUUCAUCUUGUUUGUUUUUGUCCAGUUCUCUAAUCUGUCAACGUCAUUUUGAAGUGUGAUCCUGUCCUCUGGGGUGUUAGCCACCCCUCCCAGUUUGGUGUCAUCUGCAAAUUUGAUCAGGAUGCGCUUGAGUCCAUCAUCCAAGUCGUUGAUAAAGAUGUUGAAUAAGACCGGGCCCAAGACAGAACCCUGUGGCACCCCACUAGUCACUCUUCUCCAGGAUGAAGAGGAACCAUUGAUGAGCACCCUUUGGGUUUGGUCAGUCAGCCAGUUACAAAUCCACUGAGUGGUAGCAUAGUCAAGACCGCAUUUUACCAGCUUCUUUACAAGAAUAUCAUGGGGCACCUUGUCAAAUGCCUUGCUGAAAUCAAGGUAGGCUACAUCCACUGCGUUCCCUUCAUCUACCAGGCUUGUAAUUCUGUCAAAAAACGAGAUCAGGUUAGUCAGAAAUCCAUGCUGCCUAUUGGUGAUCACAGCAUUCCUUUCUAGGUGCUCACAGACUGUUUGCUUAAUGAUCUGCUCCAGAAUCUUCCCUGGUAUUGAUGUCAGACUGACUGGGUGGUAAUUAUUUGGGUCCUCUGUUUUCCCUUUUUGAAAAUAGGGACAACAUUUGCCCUCCUCCAGUCUGCCGGGACUUCGCCUGUUCUCCAGGAAUUCUCAAAGAUGACUGCCAGUGGUUCUGAGAUCACAUCUGCCAGGUCUUUUAAUACUCUUGGAUGCAAUUCAUCUGGCCCUGGAGACUUGAAUACAUCUAAACUAGCC